ACAAGUCUAAAUUCCACAGAAAUUCGCAUUUCUCAUCAGAACACACACUUAGAUCUCAUCGAAAACGCGAUUUUUAUGGUUGGGCUACUGUUCCGGCAAGGCUAAGUUUUUUUCGGCGAAUUCUUUGCCGGAAUCAGAUAUUUUUGGUUGGAUUCAGGUGCUGUAAGUACCACUUCUAUCCCAGUCUCAGAAUACCAUAAAAGUCUCUCCGUUUCUUUGAGUUUUCAAUUUAAAUUCCACCGAAAAGGGUAAGUUUGCUGGAAUUCGAUCCGUCUCAACAACUCCUGCCCGUCUAAGCUCACCGAAGCUCCAUAUAGACGGGUUUUCAGUUUUUGUUUUUGUAUUAAUGAGCUUUGGGUUGAAAUCUUCUUGGAUUGCGGAGUAUCGACACGGUUGGGUUGGUUCAAAAUUGGUGAUUCGAGGUUUGGUUCGAGGUUUCUGGGUGUGGACUUUUUUAUUCGAAUAAUAUUGAGUUCGAAAGCUUUGAAUUGAGGUUCAAUUCUACUAUUUCCCUCUUUUUAUUUUAUUAUUAAUGAUAUCCGUGCAUGGGAUUGAAUAUCGCGUGUUGGUUGAUCUUGAUUGGUGAUGAAUUGCUACUUUGUUUGAUUUGUUGCUUGAUUCCCUCGAUUAUAUAUGGUGUGAUGAUAUGAUAUCAUUUGAGAUUUGAAAUUGGUAAUUUUAGUAUAGAAUUGGGGGUGGCGGUUAAAAGAUCAAUAAAGUAAAUGUUGAUUAUUUUUAUUCAUUAAUGGACAUUGUUGAAAUUGAUAGUAUCAUGUUUUAGGCAAAAAUUAAUAGGCAAAUUUUAAACUCGGGUAGGCAAAUUUAGAAUUGUUGGAUUGUUGGAAUGCUUGGAAUAUUUUUUGAAUGUUUUGUUUAUCGUAUUUGAAAAGUGUAUUCAUUUAACCGGGGAAUGCCCCGAGGUCAUUUGUAUUUACUCGCCGGGGAAUGCCCCGAAGAAUUUUGUACGCGAAGGAUGUUCGUGAUCAAGGCCCAAGGCAUCGGGUAAAGCAUAGUUUAGGACUAGUGUAGGUUAUUUUAGUAUUUUUUAUUUCGGUUUGUAAUAAAUUGGACUGGACGCUAAAUUUUGGAUUGUUUUGUUUUGUUUGCUUGCUUGAUUGUUUUACUUGCUUUAUGUGGUUUAUGCAUUUUAUAAUGUCAAAUUAGCCGAUACGCUCCACCAAGCGAUCGUGGUUGAACCACGGGAUUGAGGGGUGCCUAACACCUUCCCCUCGGUCAACAAAAUUACUUAGUCGGAAUCUCUGUUCGCAAAUUAGUUUUAAAAGAGUCAAAACCGUUUUGAAAAGGAUUUUUCAAAAGGUGACUCGGCAUAUCGGAUUUAUGCCAAGUGGCGACUCUGAGUUUUGAAUAUAAAAGGUCCUUUUCGAAACAAUUAUCUUCAUUUUGUCACUUUAAUAAUAAAAAUCCUUUCGAAUCUAAAACGAAUCUUUUCGAUUAAAAAAGGGGUGAGACAAUAAAUAUAUUAAAUUAAUUUUUCAAAAAAUCAUUAGUUCUGACUUCUAAUAAGAAACAGUUUUACCAUAAAUAAAUUUAAUUAAUUUUCAAUACUUAAAUAUAAAGAAGAAUAAUUAAUUCUGAUGACUUCUAAUAGGGAAAAGUUUUAUCAUAAAUAUAUUUAAUUAAUUUUCAAUACUUAAAUAUUAGAAAAAGAUAGUGAAAAAAUAUUUUUUUCUAAAGCAAAGACUUUUAAUGUAUAUUUAAUGCCCUUCACACUUGUAAUAUACUAGUUUAGGUACACGCGACCUCACUUUAUUGAGUCCAAAUGGUAUACUGAAUAGGAUAUUUGUUUAAAUAAUAAAGAUGAAUACAAUAAUUAAAUUCAACAUAUUUUGAAAAAUUUAUUUAAUUAAACCUAACAUUUAUAAAAAAAUUUAUCAAAGUCGAUCGACAUUCAUCCACCACCUGUACAUUGCAACAAAAUUAUAUGAUGAUACAGACAUCGAAAUAAUAUAAUUAAAUCUAACUUUUACACAAAAAUUUUCUCAAAGGCGUCUGACACUCAUUUACCACCUAUAAACUAUAACGAAAUAAUAUGAUAAUAGAGAUAUCAAAAUAAUGCAAUUAAACUUUACCUUUACAUAUAAAAUUUUCUCAAACAGAGAUAUAAAAAUAAUACAUUUAAACCCAACCUUUACCUAAAAAAAAUUUCAAAGCCGACCGGCAUUCAUCUACCAUCUGUAAAUUCAUCUACGACCUUUAAACUACAACAAAAUAAUACAAUAGUGAUCACAAAGCUUCAGUUUUAAUGAAAAUAAUUCUUAUCUGAACAAAAAUUUUGAGCCUAAAGAAUUACUUGAAUAAAAAUAAAGAAGAUAUAUACACACACAUUGAAUUCUAUCAUUUUGACAAAAACAGUGAAAAAGUUGAGAGUUAAAAAAUUAAACAUCCACCAAUCUAGACAUGCAAUCGAAUCAAGUUAGAUGAGCAUCAAUCAUAUUUUCUCAAUAAGUAAAUCAAUUUCUUUGGUAUUUUAACGUGCAUCUCAAUAUUUAUAGAAAUAUUUCCUUAACAGAGUCCUAUUUUAAGAGUAUUUUCCUAUCCUAUUUUAGGAGUAUUUUUCUAUUGAUAAGAAAAAUAUUAUUUGAUUCUCCUUCCGUAUAUUUUAGAAGUCUCAUAUAUUUUAGGAGUCUAGUUAAUAUAAUAAAAAUAAUUAAAUAACAAAUUGAAGAAAAUAAUGAAAAGAAUGUUUUGCUUAAAUGUUAGUCUUUUAAUGAAGGACAAAAAGUUCAAAUCACUUUUCUAAGUGUGUUCGCACUUUUAAUAUAUUAUUAUUAUUAUUAUUAUUAUUAUUAUUAUUAUUAUUAUUAUUAUUAUUAUUAUUAUUAUAGAUAUUAUUUAGAUAUUUUUUAAAAGCUGUCUAUUUUCUUCUUGUUUUUUAGUGGUGGAGUUGUUAAAAAUUGUAGUCUUUUACAUAUUGUUGCAAAUAUUCUGAGUUUUUAGGAGGAGAGACUGUUUCUUUAGCAUGGGAAAGUAUUAUUAAUGACAAAUUAUUUGAGCUUUUUCUUCAAGUUUUGGGAGUAAUGAUUUUUUUUUAUUUGGUGUUCGGUAUCCACAUUGAUGUCUACUAAUUUGGAUGCGUGCCGGGUAGGGUCCCAUUCGGGGGUAGCGCUCCCUACUAAGGAUUUUUUCAUACUCAGGGCUCGAACCCGAGACCUCUGGUCAAGGGAGAAACAACCACAUCCACUGCAACACAUCCUUUGAUGGUGGGAGUAAUGUUGUUAUUAAUGUUUUGCACUUGUUUUCUUGUUGCACUUAUCUGUAUUAAGGCCAAUGAAAUAAGAAAAGGGACACUAUCCGACUAUAAGCAUCUAUUAUUGUUUAAGAUUUAAAUUCAUGAUCUUCUAAUUACAUGAUAAUAAUUUUAUCCGUUACUCCAAGGCUUGACUCCUUUUCGGUUAAGGGCAAUGAGAUGUGAAUGCAAAUUGAGAUUUUGGGGGAUAAAACAACUUUACGAAUUGGAUAAAACAAUGUAAAUAAUAAAUAUUCGACUCAAUUUUUAAUGCAUCGUGAGCAAUGUACAAAACAAAAACUAAAAAUUACAUAAAGCCACAACUUAAAUUUCACUUAUUACACAAAAUUUCAACUCUCAAAAACAUAUUACAUAAAUUUCACUUUUUGUAUUUCUCUCUCUAAAAGUACAUAUACAUAACUUUACCAAAUUGUUUACGAUUUGUUAACCUUGGAAGAAGCAUAAAAUCAAGAAGCCAUAAAGUAGCUGUUACCAUUUUUGAAUUAAUUAUCAUGUUUGAUUCAAUCUCUUUCUCUGUGGAAUUCAAUUCUAACAAAAAGCGUCAUUUACAAUAAAUUAGGUUAGUUUUUUUUUUUCCGACUUCAUCAAAAAAAUCUUAGAUUAUGAUUGAACAAUUUCUUGCAUGUCGUUCAUUCAAUAGAAUAAGUUCCAUCUUUAUUUUUUCUAUUUUGAAUAAGAUUUUUCUUUUUCUACAUUACCAAAAUUUAAAAUUCUAUAGAAUAAAUUCUUGCAUGUACUUCAUUCACUGAUUAUUACUUAGUAAAUGGAUGAUACUCCGUCUUUUAAUUUAGAAUUAACUCAAUUAGAUCAUUGUGAACCAACAAAUCGUAUUGUUGGGUUUGUUCUCGGAGAAUUUGAUUACGAGGAUCCUAAUUUUAUUAAAAACAAAUAAAAAUAUCGUAAUGACCCCAUUAAGAUGAAGAAGCUCAGGAAAGCUGCUGAUCAAAGUUCAAAAAUCAAAUCGAAGAAUCAAUAAAAAAGAUUAAAAAAAGAUGAUACUGCACGGCCAUGUCUACCGAAGGUUUUUUAUUUUUUCGAUUUGAAUAUGAUUGUUUUUUUCGUAAAAUGAGUCCUCUAUUCUAAUAUGAGUCCUUCGUACCUUUCUAUUUAGGAUCAGAUCCUCAAGUAAAUGCUCCAUGUCAAAUCUAAUCACCUCUUUUCAGUAUACUUUUUUUUUUUCACUAAACUAAAAUAAUUUCGAAAAAAACAUUAAUAAUUUUCGGCCAAAUUGCUACUACUCAGUCCUCACUAUCUAUAUCUAUAUAUUAUUAAUAGGAGAGGAUAAAACCUUCUCAUUAAGCCACUUGGCAUCCUAUGAAUAAGCCACUUGGCAACUUAGUAAAAUAAAUAUAGUUAUGUUUGUUAUUAGUUGUUACAAUUAAAUUAAAAACUAAAAAUGCCAAAAAUUACAAUCAAUUAAAAAACUAAAUGUCAAAAAAAAAAUACAAUAAAUAUUGUAAAUAUUUUAAAAUAGAGGGAAAAAACCUAUUCUUAAUCCAUAUAUGGCAUUUGUGCAAUUUGCCGACUGGUCAUUCUUCAAAACCCCUAAGAUGGGAAAAAAAAAUUCUUAAUAAAUUUGUAAGUUUUAAAUUAUCCCACAAUUACAAUAAUAAUCCAUUAUCGGCAGUAUAAAAACCGUCCUUCUCAAUCAUUUCCACUACUAAAUAACUUUGUUUUCUAUCUCAUAUCUGAUAGAAUGAAACUUUCACAUCUUUGUUGCCUUCUUUCUCAUGGAAACACCAACUGCCAGACAUUGUCAAAGUCACUUUCAAAUCUGGCAUCAUUGAAAUUUCACUGCAAUUUUUACUAUUGAAGGUUGGAGUUUACUACCUUGAUCCAAUUCUUCUACAUAUAAAUCUCUAUACUAUUGAAACUGCCAAGCAAAAUAGGCGAAAACAUUAUGUUUGCGGUCAUUUUUUACACAACUGAUGAACUUUUCUUUCUUAAGGAAGUAGGGCAACGAACAAGUGCAGGUCAAGCUUUUUGUUAAAGAGGGCUUGAGGUUCGGAAUUGAAUAUUCCAGAUAUUAUUUAUUAGUUGUUUCAUCAUUAGUACUGCUAUGUAUUGUUGAUUCCAUGUUCCGUUUCUUUUAAGGCUUUGUCUUCGAUGAAUGUACUUUUAAAAUGACUGACCGUGAUCAGUAUAUGUAGAUCAGUUUGUCGAGUUACAACAGUUGAUUUUGGAUCCUCUGUUCUUUUUCUUUUGUUUGAAAGUUUGUUGUACGAAUGCUAUUCUUUUAAGUCUACCAAAUUUAAAAAUUGAUUUGCUUAACGUUAAUGGAAUAUUGAGACUAAAAUUACUGGUAUAUAAUAGGGAUGUUAGCUACAUUCUUUUAGUCUCUUACUAAGCCUGUAUUUGAGCUCUAUGUUGUUUCCUUAGUGCAUCUUCAAUGCUCUUCCUGAGAUUGUUCCAAGAAAUAGUACACUUUGUACUACUACCAUUUGUUAUCCUAUUGACAAACAAAUUAAGCAAAACAGUAUAGAAUUUUACUAGAACAGACCUUUCGUUAGAACACUCUUUGAUGUUCUCUAAAAUUGUUGAUAACUAUAUUAUACACUUUUAAUGACAGUGUAUGGAGUCUAUUUCUUUUGACUUUUCUUAUGUAAUAUUACCCUAGACUAAAUUUAAUAGUUUCAUAAUCUACACAAAGAUAAUGCAAUGAUUUACUUUGAGGUUAUAACUACUGUAGGUAAGACAUUAGAGUUCUAUACUUUUAAGAUUCUAAAUGUGGUUACUUAUCUUCUCUCUUGCCUUCUCUUUAUUUCGCUUUCAAGUAACUAGAUGGUUAACAUUUUUCUUCUUUUUUUUUUUUUAUUUAUAAUGAUGUUUUAUAAUAAAUUGUGGAGCUUUCUUGGUGUGGGUUCAAAGAAGAUAUGGUACUACAUUCAGUAGACUAUUGAAAUAAAUCAUUACCUAUUGUUAAAAUCUUUCAGAUUUAGAGUUGGAGUGGAAGGAUAUAAACUCUCACAAUGAUGGCUUAUAUUUGAGCUUCUCGACUCAAUCCGGUUUAAUUAAGAAAGAAUUUGACUUUUAAUUUUCUAUUGGCCAUCUUUUCCUUUUUUGUUCUAAUUUUUUCUUUUUUUGUGUGUCUAUUUGUGUGAAGUUGAGUUAGUCUGAAAUUUUUUUGGCUUAAUUGUUCAUCUUUUUGAAAAACUAAAGGUAUAUGGUGAAGAAUUAAUUAGAACACACUCUUCCCAAGAAGACCCCUUCAAAUUUUAACUUAUUCCUUUGAAAUUCAUGGCACACUUGAUUCCUCUUUAUUUACAAGUGUCUUUUCACUAAAAGUCAAGAGGUUUUUGUUGUCCAACUUCACAAUAGCUUGUACGAGUGACAAGUCAGGUGAUCCUAUCAAUAUUUACCUGUGGUAUAGAAGCAACAACUCUAAAUAGCGCAUCAAGUAUAGGGGUUUCUCAACUAAGUGAUACGAGGAUACGUGUACUUUGCAGGCUGAGUUUCCAACAAUUGUUGAAAAGGUUAGAGUUGUAAAACAGUGAAUUAUGAAGUCUACUAUCAGUAAGUAAGUGUUUUCUCAAAGAAUCAUAUUUUAUCGCUGAAAUCUCACAUCAUAUGCAUAUGUAUUUAAUCAUAUGGUCUAAAUUAUUUAGCGCUGAAUGAUACCGCAGGUUGUUACUGCAAACAAAGGUGGAGUGGUGGCAUAUGUCGAGGGUCUUCAUGUGUUUGUCCCAUUUUAUAGAUAUCAACGUAAAUUUACAAUUAUGUAUAAUGAGGAUAGAGACACUUUGUCUGAUAAACCAUCUUGGAAAUAAGCUUCACAAAUAAUAUUCAAAAAUGGAUAUCUGCUAUAGUUUCUUAAUGUAGUUAUAUCUUCAUUUGAGUUCGUUCAUAGUGUUCAAGUUCAAAUUAUUAUAGUAAUUGUUUACUGUUAUAGCUUUCUUGGUCGUAUAUAAGUUCUCUAAUUUGGUUGACUGUCCAGUCAUGCACAUUGGCUCCCAUUGAAGGGUUGUUGAUUAAUCUACUUCCAACUCCACCCUCAAUGCUAGCAGAUGUUGCCAUUAUUACAAUGCAAUGCGCUCUAGGUGUGUGUAAUGAGUGGAAUAAAACCCACCAGAAACAUAUGAACUAUGUUAUAUCAUCUUUUUAAGUACAGUAAACUUUUGAUGAAUAUCAAUUCAUUUAUAUUAAGACUAAUAUAUUUGGAUUUAAGAAAAGAUGAAACAUGUUCAACAAAUUCAUACAACAACAUGAAAGUUUGUCAUUGAUUAAUUUUUGUCUAUGUUUUAGGAGGAUCUUUAAAGCUUUUUAUAUUUCACAAAUUUAUUUGUCAAAAAAUUGUCUUGAAAUUAUCUGACCACAUAUAGAACCUGAUUCUGAAAAAUGAUUCUCUUUGAUAAUAUUGUAAUGGAUCAUCCAAUUUGCAAGAUUAAUGCCGGAUUUUGGAGCUAUUACUUCCCAUCUAUAUAGAGAUAUCAAAUAUUAUUAGUGAAUGCAACUGAAAUGAUAAAAGUUAAAAAUAUAUUUGGAUAGGUCAACUAUUUAGACCUUGAUAGCUCUUUUUAACUAUUAAUUUUCAAUUUUAAGCACUUGAAUAUGAGUAUUCUGUGUUACAGUUAAGAAUUGGAGUUCAAUCACCAAGCAAGACAAAGCUCUCAACAUGUGAUCUGCGCCUCGCUUCAAGCCUUAAGAGCACCUUUCGCAACACCUCUUGAAUGCUCUUUUGAUUACAAGAUUACAUGCAUAUGUACUUUUUCAUAUUAGACUUGGUUUUAUUUAGUUUUGAAGUUGCAUAAGAUUAUGGCUUCUUGACUAAUUUUACUGUAAUUGAUCUAUCAAGUUGUAUUUGCUAAAAUGAGUACCAUCGUGUGACAAAGCAUUUUGUUUGUUUGAGAAAAUUAUGGCCUAUUUAUACCUUAAUCAAGAGCUUUUGGUCACACUAUUUAUUGUGUUGAAAGCUGAAAAUUGAAAGAUCACAAGGGUGACAAGUGUAAAUAUUUUUCAGCCGCUUUACUUCAAGGCAUUUUCACUUUCAAAAAAUUACUUCUAACAGAUGAUAUACUUUUUGAUAAUGUUACUGUAUCUUUAGAUACAGUUGUGCUAAUUUUUGCAUCUCACUUUACUACUUACAUGAAGCAAUGACAAGAAAAUUCAGAAAUUCGUGAAGUAUUCUCACAAGUGAAAAGGCACAGAAUAUCAUCGUCAUUUUUAAAUUUAAGGAUUGAAUCUGAUGUUUUUCUUUAAAAACGUCGCAUAUUUGGAGUAAAAAAGAUUUGAUGGGUGGUUGCAGGAAAUUGUGGGGUGGUGGUGAUGAAUAUGAAAAGAAGAGGCCUGCCUUUGAUUUUCAAUCACCUGAAUUAGAAACUAUUCCUGUGAAAAUUUCUAAAAUUCGACAUAUGGUACUUGAGAAAGCAUUGAGAGAGUUGAAAAGCUUUCUUAUUAUCUUAGUUGCGUGGACUCUUCAUUUUGAUGCCGCAACCAUGUAGGAUUCUUCCAAAAACACUAAUUUUGGCGAAUUCGACAUGCACUCAUUGGCAUUUUUGAUGAGUCCGAGCAACAUAGCUUAUUAUGACUUAAUUUUUAUUUUUACAGCUUCAUCUUCUGACUUCUACGAGGAGAUGCAUUAAAGCAGAGGAUUUUUCAGGUAUGUGCAACUGUUCGAUCUCUCAAGUGUUGUUAGGUAAUGAGUUGAUAUUUUUCCCUCGUCUCACGGAGUUGAAUUUUAUUCCUCAUUCCUCAUUUGAGAGAGUUAAGUUUUCCAUCUAUUUAGAGAUCAAUUUCCUCAACAUAAAGAGUUAAAACUCUUCUGAAUGCUACUUUUGCUUUGCCAGGUUUGUAAAACAAAGUGGAUGAUAAGACGCAUGAUAAAUCUUCAGUAGCAUUAAGCAAACGCAUGGAUGAUUUUCCUAAGGUACCUACAAUAGUGGGGAAAUAAACAUAGUAAAAGAAGAAAAAAUGAUCAAAAUAAAUUCAGGCUCUUCACCGCAGCCUCUCCCUAACGGAGACGUUCACUUGCAAAAGAAAACUAUUAAUUCAAGGAAAACACAUCUCUUGUGACAGGAAACGGAGAACACUGAAGGUGAUAAUGCAACUUCAAUUUCAAAAAGAAAGAAACUAGACCAAAAAAUUGUUGCAAAGAGUUACUCACUAAUGUCUCUUUAGUUGUUCCUCCAUCAUCAAUUAUUAAUUGUAAUAAUAUCUCUAAGAAAGUUGUUUCUGUCUACUAAGGUCUCAGUUUUUCUGAAUUAGUUUCUAAAAUGUUACUAGAAUGGACAUUAUAUUUAUUGGACAUGUUUAUCAUGUACUAAAUUUUGCAGGGGUGAAGUCAUGCAAGUCACAAAAAGCUAAAGGCCACUUUUGUGAGGUCUCUGAUGAUAAUGGAAAGGUUGAUAGAAACGUUGGCUUCAAAAAGAGAUCUAUUAACAAGAUUUCUAAGAAUCAGGAUCUCUUGGGGGAGGCAACGGGGAGCACUAAAGGUUAUAAUACAACUUUAAGUGGUAGAAAAUGGGGCUAAAAGAUUAUCACAGAGAGUUGCUCACUAAUGCAUGUUUUGUUGUUUCUCCAUCAACGGUUAUUAUUUGUUACACUACCGCAUAGAGUGCAUCUACUAUUCAAGAUAUUUCUCAAAUUAGUGUGAUAGAUUAGGUGUAUUUCUCAUAAUCUCAAUAGUUUGGGUGUGAAACUCAAAAGAGAGGAUUAUUUAGGUGUGUUUUUUACUCUAAUAAAAAAUGUAUAAUUAUAGUAUGUGUUUUUACCAAAAUGUAUUUGAGUUUGUUUUUUGAAACCCAUGAUUAUCUGUAGCCGUUGUAACCUUUGUCAUAGCUUCUGCCCUACUAGUGAGCACUGGGUAAACCCCUCACUGUGUAAUACAUUCCACUAGACACUAGGUUAUAAUUAUACUUUUAUAAGAUCAAAAUGAUGUGAUGUGUUCAAAAAUUAAACAUUUUUUUAAUAAUCUCCGCGUAUCGUGCGGGUAUGUAUACUAGUAUGAGUAAUUUGAAAGGGCUUUAGAGUGUUUUCAAAGUUAUAUAUAUAGGAAUACGUAUUUGGAUUGAGUUAGGGUUAGCAGACUGCCUAUUGAUUCGUUACAUGGGACAAUUUCUUCAUCCUCAACUUUAUGGAAUCAGCCCUGGUAAAAAAAAAUUGUGUUUCUAUUAGGUUGCUUCUAUUUGAUUAUUAUACUUUUCUUGCAAUUAUGCUGAGAUAUACUGAUCCUACUUGUGGUGUUGUUGUUAUUGUUGUUGUAAUGGGAAAAAGUUGUGUGUUUUGAUGUUGUUCAUGUGUUGUGGAACUAUUUGUUGUUGUAAUGGAAAAAAAAAGUUUCUUUUUUUCUACUAUUUUGUGUUGUCCGAUGUGUGGUGUUCGUAUUUGUUGUUGUAAUGGAAAAAAGUUGUGUUUUUUGUGUUGUUCAGGAGGAGAAAAAGUGGUGUGUGCAAAAUCUGAUGUUUAUGAGUUUGGAACAACGAGUAUGUUAUACUAUGAUCCAUUAACUGACGUGCAUAAAUUUUUAGAUUUUUGAGGUUGAUGACACAAAGGAGGAUUGUUUGAGCUAGCUACAGGAUGAUGUUUUGUCUUCCAUUCUUGGAUAUUUGACAGUACGUGAUGCUGUUAGGACGACCAUUUUAUCUACUAGGUGGAAAUAUCUGUUUGCCUCUACGCAACUACGAAAACAACCCCCAUUUGAAUUCAGAUGCUUUGAUAUGUUGACGGUUGUUAGUCGUUCUUGUUGCUCUUCCUAUCAAGAAAAAGACAAAUUCAUGAAUGCAUUAUACCAGUUUUUAAGACACUAUGCUGGUUGUAGAGUGGCUCGCGUUCAGAUGGUCAGUUGCUUUGUGAGAGAGGUUCCUAGUGCGUUUACCCAUUGGUUCCAAUCUCUUUCUAGAAUACGUGUUGAAAGCUUACACCUUUCCUUUGAGUGCAAUUUCCGUGACUUAAGCCAGUUGCUUACAUUUUCUCUUGAGGUUCUCUCUCAGUCAUCUUCAUUGGAACAUUUGAUUUUACAAGGCUGUGUUGUGUUAUCAAGUCCUAAAGUCUGUUUAAAUUCUCUCACGACUCUUACUUUGAGUGGUGUUGUGUUAACUAGCGGACAUCUGGAGGGUAUUCUGUCUUCUUGUUCCAACCUUAAGAGGUUAACUAUUGUGUGCUGUAAACUUCCUUAUAAGCUAUGACUCAAUGGUACAGUAAUGGUGGUUGUUAUUUGGGAGUGUGCCGGAGGGAAAGGAAUUGAUCUGCAUGCUGCACAUCUUCGUAUGCUUGAGUGCAAGAUUAAUAACAAUGUAAGAUUUUUUUUCUCAUUUGUACCCGUGCUGGAAAAUGUAAUGGUUUGGCGUGACUUUCAACAUUCAUAUUCAUACGUAUUUGGUGAUUGUGCAAGAGAUUUACCAGAUCGGGUUAAAUCUUUAACCCUCCAAUUUGCUCCUGAUCAGGUUUUAAUUUAACGUUGUCUUGUAUUCUCAAAUUUAUCAAUAUUCGUCACUUUGAUGACCCUAAUCACUUGAGUUUUUUUCUCUAGAUAUAUCCUUCAUUUGAGAACCCAACAGUGAUGCAGAUGUUCAGAAGCCUUAGGAACUUAAGCUUGAAACUUGUGACCAGUCUUGCGAUCGUAGAGAUAUUUGAACUAUCCAGACUUUUGGGUGAUUUUCUCUGCUCCAAUCUUUGAGUUUUGUGGUGAGUUUGUUAUCCAUGUUCAUCAUCUUCUUCUUUGCGUAAUUCUUAUAUUUUUGAUAUUCUUUGUUCAUGAACUAUCUUUAUAGAAGGGCACUUUCGUUUUUAAACUUAGAAUCUAUUCGCUUUGUGGUGAACUCUAUGUUUACUCUUUAGUGAAUUGCUACGUUGGUGCAAAGUUGAGUAGACCAUUCGUUUUGAUGAUUUUUGAAAUCCUAGAGGAUCAUACUUCACAAAUACAAUCUACUUGGUCUUUCAUAAAACAAUGCGAAAGAGCAUUGAUUUUGUCAUAAUUUGUAGUUAGUGCAACUCCUCUAUCGGAAACGGAUAGGGGUAAGGUCUGGAUGUAUUGUAUAAUUCAGUUCUUUUUGUAAAUUUUUUCUUGACAUCUGAUAACAAAGUGGUACAUCAGUUUAGUUGGUACAGUGAGAAGUCUUAAAGAUAGAUUGCGAAGAUCUGCAAAUUGUAUGUUAAAACAUUGCUUUAUAAACUACAGAAAUGUCCAACCUUACUGGUCGUUGAAUCAAACGCUUUAAGUACCUUUUUCUGUUUGUUCAUUUGGUGAGCUCCAUGACACAAUGAACUGCCAAGUAAUUAGUAAUAUUCCUUACAGUCCAUUGUUAGUUCAAUUUAGCUUUGCUCUACUAAGUCGUUGUUGUAAUUAUUUAGCACUAUGUUGAUCUCAUUCUCGUUGUGAUCUUCAGGUGAUUAAGCUUCCAGUAACAAGGGAGAUAAGAAGAAGGCGGUCUCCAUCUCCUACACGUCACACUGAACUAAAACAAGUGACAUACGGUGGAUUUAAUGGAUUAGACACCGAGAUGGAGUUUGUUCUUUAUAUUCUAAGAUGUGCAGUAGCACUUGAGCAGAUGUUUCUCAGCCCUGGAUACAAAAAUGAUUUCUCUUUAGAGCAGGAAUCGGUAUUGAACCUUUCAUUCAAUGAAGAGAAACGCAACUUAAUCCAACAACAACUACAUGGGCAAGCUAUCUCUGGGAAAGCUACGGUGAUCAUCCAAUAAGAUAUUGGACAAAUACUCUAUUGGAAAUCAAGGAUUUGCAUACACGCUACUUUUCCCAGACCUCACAUUUGCUAUAGUAGAGCUCUGUUAGUCAGUAGGGACAGGUAAGUGUGUGAAGUUUAUGGUACUGUUACUUUUAAGAAUUGUGUACAUUCUACCCUUUUUAAAUCCAACAUGUUUAUGGUGCCUCAAUUGCCAUUAUUUGCGAUAUUGUUUCUUGAUAUCUGCCAGAACUUGUCCUAACCAAAUGGUUCAUUGACAGGUUCAUCUCUAGGAUCAACCCUCUCACAAGUUCCAACAAAUGCCUUGUCAGGCUUAACGCGGUCUAGUCAGUCUUGAUGAUGUUUGAAAUCCAGAUGGCAUCAUGCUAAAACUUAAAAAGUUUGUUAGAUAAUCUAACCAAAUUGCGGACAAGCUAACUUCUAAAGAAGGGGUUUUCAUGGAAUACAUUUUCCUCCAUACCGAUUGUCAUUUUCACAAUGCGAACUUUGGAGAGGAAAGUGUAUACGCAUAUCUUAGUUCGACCUAUCUUGGAAAUAGAGAGGCUAUUUCCGACAGAUGGUCGACUCGAGGAAAACAUAGAAAUAUAUAUCUGACAAAUUAGUCAAUCAGUCAAAAGUUUGUAGGAGCAAAUUGCAUGCAAGUUACAUGAAUUAUAAACUGUACAAGUCAAUAAAGUGAAGCAACAAAGUCAAGUGCAAGUCAAUCUUUUCAAUAACAUUUAUAAUUUUUCUCCCUCAAUAAUUCUUUAUUUUUCAACCUUAAAAUUUCAUUUGAUGUCUCAAUCCAUAAGUUUGAUCUUCAAACAUUUGACACUUAAAAAAAAGAUUUAUAGUGUUUAUACCAAAUUAAUGAAUAUCUAACACAUAUUUUUCAUUUAUUUUUAUCAUUUAUCCAUAGUUGAUUCAUAUGCAUUUUGAUCUUGCUAUUUUUACUUCAUCAUUAUAAAUUCAUAUAGUUUGAUGUAAACAUUGAAAUAUGAUUCAACUUUUUUGUCUAAAGGAAUCUAACUUGUAAAAGACCUUGCACCAAUUGAGAAACAAAUUUGUUGCAACUUGAUACCUAUUAUCCGCUUUGGCCUAACAGACCUCACAGAUUUGUCCCUUCAGCUACAUCAUCAUCGAGUCCAAAAGCGUACAUACCAUGUAACCUAUUGUUAUUUCUUAUAAAUUCCUUCACUUCAUCUCACAUUUCAAUGUAAGAUUCGCUUGAGGUUCAUAUAUGCCUCUUCUUCAGAAGCUUGCUAGCCUAAAAGUCUGUCUUUUAGAACCUUCAUCUACACAAGUGGAAGAAUUUGGACAAUGAGACACUAUUUUUUCUUGUAGAAAAUGGCAUUGACCAAGUCUUUUGCACCCUAUUUAUACAUAUAGAGUCAUUAAUGUUGUUUCUUGAACUCCAAACAAGUUAUAGCCAUGAAACAAGAUCAGCAAAGCAAAUUACUGGAUUUUACCAAAAAUAAGGAAAUAAUUUUGCCAAAAAUAGAUUUGUAUUGCAUAUAUAUUAUUUAUACAAUUUGUAUUAUAGUAUUACCAUACCUCUUAAUUUUACCAAAAAUAAGGAAUUUUGCAAAACUGAAAAACAACAACCAACAUGAAAACAUUAAUUUACUUCUCCUCCAAUAUACUUUAGGAGUUUAGUUAAUAUUAUAAAUAUAAUAAUUUAAUAAUUGAAGGAAAAAAGUGAAAAGACAAUUUGUUUAUUGCAGAGAUUUUCAAUGAAGGGUAAAAAGUUCAAAUUACUUUUCUAAGUGUCUUCACACAUUUAAUAUAUUAUCAGUUUAGGUGUACGCGCCUUGCGCGUGUAUCUCACUUUAAUGAGUUCAAACAUUACAUUAAAUAGAAUAUUUAUUUAAAUAAUAAAGAUGAAUAUAAUAAUUUAAUUUAAUAUCUUUUGAGUAUGUAAAGAUGGAGAAUUUAUUUAUUAAAUCUAAUCUUUACCCAAAAUAUUUUUAAAAGUCAAUCGACAUUCAUCUACUGUGUAAAUUGCAACAAAACAAUACAAUGAGACAUCAAAAUAAUACAAUUAAAUCUAAUCUUUACACACAAAAAAUUUCUCAAAGUUAUUUGACACUCAUCUGCCACUUGUAAAUAAUAACAAAAUAAUACGAUAAUAGAGAUAUCAAAAUAAUACAACUAAACCUAACCUUUACAUAAAAAAAUUCAUCAAAGCCGACCAACAUUUAUCUAUCACCUAUAAACUGCAACAAAAUAAUAUGAUAAAAGUGAUAUCAAAACAAUACAAUUAAACUGAAAUUUACACAAAAAAAAUUUCUCAAAGCCGAUCGAGAUUCGUCUACGAACUGUAAACUACUAUAAAAUAACAAACUAAUAGAGAUAUUAUGAUAAUACAAUUACAUCUAACCUUUACCUACAAAAAAUUCAAAGUCGACCCACAUUUAUCUAGCAUCUGUAAAUUAAAAUAAAACAAUAAGAUAAUAAAGAUAUCAAAAUAAUACAAUCAAAUCGAACCUUUACACAAAAAAUUCUUUAAAGCUAACCGACAUUCAUCUAUGACCUGUAAACUAUAAAAAAAAAUAUAAUAGUGAUUACAAAGCUUUGAUUUUGAUCCAACUAAUUCCUGUCUGAGCGAAAAUUUUGAUCCUAAAGAAUGAUUUUAAAUGAAAACAAAGAAUAUAUAUAUAUACACAUAUAUUGAAUUCUAUUAUACUAAGAAAAAUAGUGAAGAAGUUGAGGGUUAGGAAAAAAACAUGUUUAGGUAUAGAAUUUUAUCAUCAAUUAACUAUUGAUAGUAUCAAUGAUUAUAGAGAUAAAUAUAUUUGUGAUUUACGUUAUGUUUUUUAAAGUGUUAGUAUGUUCUGAUAUUAACAAUAAUAAAUUAUCAUGUAUUAUUGAUAGAUAACUGUUAAUUGAGAAAAUUUCUUCUAAAUAGGAAUACUUUGGAUAUCAAUAAUUUCAACAACUUGGUGUUUGUUUUCAAUAAAAAAAAUAAAAUAAGCAUGAUCUUAUAAAAUAUAAAUUCAAGUUUGAGAUUGAACACAUCAACAAAAGAAAUUCAUAAAUAAAAAUUGACAUUCGAUUCCUAUAGAUCAAAAAAAAUAAAAAAUAAGCGUGAUCCUAUAAAAUAUAAAUUCAAGUUUAAGAUUGAACACAUAAACAAAUGGAAUUCAUAAAUAAAAAUUGGCAUUCGAUUCCUAUAUAAUUUAUGUUAGUGUUUAUAUAUACUAUUGUGCCUAUAAUUGUAUGGAAAAUAUUUUAAUAGAGUAGGCAAUUUUUAUUUUUUUUUUUGCAAAAAUAAUCAUAGUUUUCCAAUAAAAUAAUAAUAAUAAGAGCUUACCAAGUUCAUGCAAUUUAUGUACAACAUAAUAACAACUUUUAUGGUAGUUUUUGUUUGUUCAAAUUUUAUUUUUUUAAAAAUAUUUUAGAACUCUUGAUUUCCCCCAUAUAUUUUAGGAUUCAAUAUUAAUUAAUUUUCCUACCAUAUAUUUUAUGAGUCUCAUAUAUUUUAGGAAGUCUAGUAGAAAGAAAAAAUAUUAAUUAAUUCUCCUACCAUAUAUUUUAGGAGUCCCAUAUAAUUUAGAAAGUCUAAUUAAUGAUAAAGAAAUAAUUAAAUAAAAAAUAAAAAAUAGUAAAAAGACGUUUUGUCUAAAAAAGAGUCUUUUAAUGAGGGGUGAAAAGUUCAAAUCACUCUUCUAAAGGUCUUCACACUUUUAAUAGAUUAUAGAUUAUUAUUAUUAUAAAGAUAAAUAUAGAUUAUAAAUAUAAAUUCUCGCUAUUUUAAAAAAUAAGUCUUAAAAUGGCAAUUUGUGCACUUGUUCCUAUAAGUUUGGCCCAACAUAGAAAGACCAUUCAUCAGACAAGUUAAAAGGGUUGAUCAAUCCAACAUAUCAAAAUGCACAGUCCAUUUAAUUAGGGGAAAUGACACUUGCCAUUUUGAAAAUAAAUGAUGAGUAAUUGAUUAAUUUGUCAUAUUGUGGCUAGUCAAUUAAAUUAAUAUUUAAUAGUUAUUGAGCUAUUGUGACCCUUUUUUAAUAUACAAUUUUUAUAGUAAAUUGAUACAACGCUUAUAUUAUAUUGAUACAUUUUUUUAAAAGAGACGAAACUUAUGUAUGCAUAUGUAAUUUUUAUAUCAAAUUGAUAUAACGUUUAUACCAUAUUGAUAUAUUUUUUCGAAAGAGAUGGACCUUAUUAUUGCAUAUACAAUUCUUAUACCAAAUUGAUACAACACUUAUACCAUAUUGAUAUAUUAUCUUCAAAGAGAGGGAACCUACACAUAAAUACAGUCCCUAUAUUAAAUUGAUACAAUGUUUAUACUACUUUAAUACAUUUUUAUUUUUUUUUAAAAUGUAGUAGUGAAAAAAAAUAGAAAAAUUGAUUUCUUUUUUCAUAAGUAAAAUGGGCGACUUUCUUUUUAAAUGGAAUAAUAAAAACGUAUAAAAAAAAGAAAUAGAGAGGAAGAUGAAGCGUACAACGAAAUGGUUAAAAAUAGAAAUUAAUUUAAUAGCUAAUUGUAGGUAAUUAGUUUUGAAUCACUAUUAUGUUUCAAAUUAUAUUUGGAUUUCUCAUGACCAAACUCAUACUAUUUUUAUUUUUUUCGACAACAAUAAUAACAACAAACUCAAUCUAUUUCCACAUAGUGGGGUCUGGAAGGGUAUAAUGUAUGCAGUUCAUGCCACAACCUCCGAAGAGAUAGAAAGACUGUUUUCAAUAGAUCCUCGGCCCAAAACAAAAUAAUAUUCCCUCAGUUUAAAAAAGAAUGACCUACUUUCUAUUUUAGUCCGUUUAAAAAAGAAUGACCCCUUUUCCUUUUUAGCAAUUUUUUAAUUCUAACUUUCCACGUGGUAUAUUUAAGACCACAAGAUUGAAGGACAUUUUGGUACAUUUGACAUAUCUUUAAUUUAAGACUACAAGAUUCAAAAGUUCUUUAUUUUCUUAAACUUCGUACCAAGUCAAGUUAGGUCAUUCUUUUUGAAACAGAGGGAGUAGUAAACAAAAUUGUCAUAAAAUGUGAAACAAGAUGUAAUAACAGAGAUACAACACCCAUAAAAAGUACUAACAAAUCAAAGGCACAAUCUUCCCCUGACCCUUCUAACUAGAAGCUCCAACCUAUAUAUAGAGCCUUAAGACUACUAGCUUAGCUACACCAAAGCACUCCUAACUACACUACACGCACUAGCCCUCUAUCCUAAUUUGAGUCCUUUGUACCUUUCUAUUUAGAGUCUCAUAUUAUAUAUAAUUAUAUAAAUAUAUAUAUAUAUAUAUAUAUAUAUAUAUAUAUUAUAUUAUUAUAUUAAAAGUGUAAAGAUCCUUAGCAAAAGUGAAUUGAACUUUUUGCCCUUUAUCAAAAAAUUUUGAUUUAGACAAAAUCGCCAUUUCACUAUUUUUGAAUAUUUAUGAGUUAAAAAUUUAAAUAAGUCAUCAAAAUUCUUGUUCAACUAAACAAUAGGUACUUUUUUCAAAAGUUUUCCCACGUAUAACUUGGGUUUGUUACAGGAUUUAAUCAAACCUAUUUAAUUAGAGUAUUACAACUUACUGUUUCUUCCUUUUUUGUUCUAAUAUUGAAUUGAUGUUUGACUUUCUGAUGAGGUAGCAUGGGUAUUACAACUUAUUGUUUCUUCCGUGCAGUCUAAUCUUUAAAACAGAUAUUGUUAACUCCUUUUGAAAUUUUUAUUCUUUAAGGUUUUUGCUCUAAAGUUAUUGGUUCUUUAUUUCUUUUUUUUAUAUAUAUUUUUUGAAUGUCAAUUGUGGAAUCGAUCAUUCAUCUAUAUUUCUUUUUAUGUAUAUUUUUUUAGAUGUCAAUUGUAGAAUCGAUCUUUUAUCUGUGCUCCUUAUCUUUCUCCAUGAAAUUAAUAGAGUUGUGUGAAAGCUGAUUUGAACACCACAGUUAUAAUUGAAAUGCUGAAUAUAUCUACUCAUGAAAGAAAGAAUUAGCAAGGAUCCUAAAUGCUUUGAAUUCUAUUGGACUACACAAAUCUUUUGAUUUUCUUGAGAGAGGAGAAAAAUAAUUUUCUGUGACUUGUAAGUUUUGAAUCGGUUAAUCAACUCUUUCGUUUCAACUGUGAAAAUUAUUUUUACAAAGUUCUCGGAUUUGUGUUUUCAUUCUUCUUUGUUUGCAGAAAAGGUGUGAUAACUUCUAUGAAGAAUACAUUUGUUGGUGUUUUCGUUAAAUCUUGAGUUUUUAGGAUUUCGAUGUGGAUAAUAUUGAUCGACCUAAGGGUUUAGAGUUUGUGUUGUGACUCUGCUUUACUCAUAAUUGAUUCUUUUAGUUGCUUAGGUUAGCUUUUGUUUUUUUCCCCUAUUUUGUGGGUGAAUCUGAUCAUGCAAUGACUUAUUUCACCUUUGUUUAAGAUUUGAGAGAUAAAUAUAUAAAUGUUUCUAUGAUUUGAGAUUAUGAUGUUGUGGCAGUGUACGGUCCAUGUAGCACUAUUUUUUUUAGAGAGGAAGACGGCAGCUAUGGUAAUGAAAAGAGGAGAAUAUAAUCUUUUUGAUAUUUCAAGCUUAUACAGUUUGACUCCCUCAUUUCAAUUUCUCCUCAGAUUUUCAAGCAAACAUAAUCUCUAUCGAUGAUAUGGCAACUCCGAUGGCCAAGGAUAGAGACUUCGAAGAUGACUACUAGCUUCAUGUAAUGUUCACUGAAGAUAUUAUUAGGUCUUCACGUCAUUUUGACAACGAAAUUUGAAUCAUGCAGGUUUCAACUUCUCUUCGUUUGCCUACUUACAGUUAUUUUGCGUUUGUUGAAAACUUUUGAUGUGUUUUUUUGUCUCAAUUUUGGGUGCGAAUAUCAUGAUUAUUGGGAGUGAUCUAAUCAUUCUUCUUAAAAAUAAUUUUGUCCAACGUAUAUAGAUUUUUUUUCUAGAAAAAGAAAUAGAAUCCUAAUUGGUUCUAUCUAUGGACUUUAGUGAUCUGGAUAUUGUUCUUGGUGUUACUUUUCUUUUUCUUAUUCAUUCUUUCUUUCAAAUUUCCGUCAUGGUUGUUUGAGUGAGUAUUAAGGUGAAGACUUGAAACUUUUGUUUAGCCUUUGCCCACUUUUAAUUUCAUUAUAUUCAAUUGAUCUUAUUGAUUUGAGUCCCUCUUCUUAUUACUCUCAUAUGAUUAAAAAAAAAUAUUGUCAAAGAGGUAAAAUUAUUAAGCGUUUAUAAUUAAAUUGAUCAACUUUAGACUUAUUAAAAAUUAAUACAAAAUAAAUUCAAUUUUGAAUCUACUUGGGGAUAGCACAAUAACUUGGCUCUCUCUGUAUUCUUCUUCUUUCUUUCCACUUCAUAUUCCAGUGCUUCAUAUAAUACUUUCAGAUGCUGUAUAUCUGCAUUUGUUCCGAUGAUACUAAAACUAAAAAAUUAUUGAAGUAUUUCUGAAGCAUCAGAUUUAUUCGGUGGGAACUGAAUUGUAAAAUAUACUUUGAGUUAAAAGCCCAUAACUUGUCAAGAAAAUAACUAAAUUCACCACCAGGAAUACGACACCACAGAGGAAAUGAGAAGUAAUGAAAGCAAGAGAAUGUUGAAGCUACUCACUUAUAGAGUAUGUUAUUAUAUAUAAGAUCUAUCACUAUCAGAAAUUAGAUCUAUGGUGACGGUUGCAAAACCGUUGCCAUAGACCUAUCGCAACGGUUCUGCAAGCGUCCCAUAGGUGGGUGAUGGUCGGUGGGAACUGAAUUGUAAAAUAUACUUUUGAGUUAAAAGCCCAUAACUUGUCAAGAAAAUAACUAAAUUCACCACCAGGAAUACGACACCACAGAGGAAAUGAGAAGUAAUGAAAGCAAGAGAAUGUUGAAGCUACUCACUUAUAGAGUAUGUUAUUAUAUAUAAGAUCUAUCACUAUCAGAAAUUAGAUCUAUGGUGACGGUUGCAAAACCGUUGCCAUAGACCUAUCGCAACGGUUCUGCAAGCGUCCCAUAGGUGGGUGAUGCGAUAGGUCUAUUGCAACGGUUUCUGCGACGGUUGUCUAAACUGACGCCAUAGGUAGAGCUAUGGUGACGGUUUCUGACAACUGUCGCCAUAGAUAGACCUACUGCGACGGUUAUUUUUUAACUUAUUGAGACGCCUAUUUUAUCUAUUGCAACGGUUACGAACCGUCGCAAUAGAUGCUAUUGUAAUGGUUAGUAACCGUUGCAAUAGCAGCUAUUGUGAAGCUUUUGUUGUUCUGUUGCAACGCUUUUGACUACCUAUUACAACUAUUUCAUUACGUAUUGGAACGCCUAUUUUAAUCUAUUGCAAUGGUUACGAAACGUUGCAAUAGCAUCUAUUGCAACGGUUACGAACCGUUGCAAUAGCAUCUAUUGCGACACUCGUAACCGUUGCAAUAGCAUCUAUUGCGACACUUUUGUUAUUCUGUUGCAAUGCUUUUUGGCUGCCUAUUGCAAUGGUUUAUUAAUAUAAAUUUUUAUUUACAUACAAAAUAAAUUAUAACACAAUAUAUACAUAUCACAAAACAAAAUCAUUCAUUAAUAAUCUCAUGAUUCAAAAUAUGCAACAAGCUAGUAAUCUAAACCCAAAAGUAAAUGUAAUCAAGCCCAAAUGAUUAGUUAAGUUUUUACAUACUAGCAAGUUCAAGUCACGAUAAGUUUCAAAAAAUUCAACAUAAAAUUAUUGAUAUUAGAGCAUUUAUCCACAACCCAAAAAUCUUCUCAAGUCAGGUCAGUGUCUUCAUCUCUUUCUUCAUUUUGGACACCUAUGAAAGAGAACAAAUAAUAUAAAUUAGAACUUAAAUGACAACGUAAACCACAUAUAAGUUAGCUAGUGAAGAGACAAAUCAGCCAAUCAUGGUUAGAAAGAAAUACAAACACCCAAAUAUGAGAUUAUAAAACUUAAAGAACAAUUGAAAUUGUUAAAAGAGAAAACUGCAGCUUCACAUUUAUAUAUGUCUAACAUAUGUGAUCCAGUUAGCAUGCAGUUCCACAGUUCAAAAGGAACACACGUUCCAAAAUGAAAAAACUCGAUUAUUCUCUAGUUUAACAAUUAGAUGUCUUAUAAUACUGAAGCAACAACAUUUUCAAUAUCACACAAUACUAUUUUUGAGUUUUAUUUGUCAUAGCCCAUAUGUACGAUCAUAUUUACUUAUUUAACAUCUUUAACAGAAAAAACCUUACACAAACCUUUCUUCUAUCAAAUCAAAAUCAGAGGAACACUCUGCACAUAAUACAACAUACAUUACCUUCCACAAAAUGAGACAUUAAGAAACAUAUUCAAUUGAUUUUACAACCCUCUAUGACCUUGAAGGGCAACAAAUAAUCUGAUAUGAAAUAAAACGAAUCUGGUAACGUAGUUUUUUUCCAUGAUUAGAUAACAUAGCCAAUACCUAGAUUUAGAAACAGUAUCUGGUGUACGGAGUAUGCCUUGUGGGGAUUCUGCAGCAAGCUCAACAACCUCUUUGUACUUGGUUUGAGCAAACAACUCUUAGAAUAGUUGGACAACCUGAAGCAAUACGAAGGAAAAUUAUACACCAAUAUCUCAUGAGGAGUGAGGAAGUACCUUGACAUUAACGAAGGGAAAUUAUACACCAAUAUCUCAUGAGGAGCGAGGAGGUACCUAGACAUUAAUAACUAUGGUGGCCACGAUUAUGAACUCCCAUUAUGUGCAACUUUCAGUUAAAUAAACUGAACUACCUUGACUAUGGCAAUACAAAGGACAGGGAAUAUUUCAGCAUACCAAAUAAUUUAAAGAAUAAUUGACAAACUUUUUCACAGUUCCUUUGUAUGUGAUUUAUUUCUACUGAUUAUGGUUUUGCUAAUACUUCUAACAAAUUUCAAAGUGAAAGAACAUCCUCGCAGAAGUCACUUAAUAGGCCUUGCCAGAGUGCCUUCUGCACAAGGCCCCUUUGCAGAAAAAGAUAUGUUUGAUAGAUUAAAAGAGCUCAUAGAAUUCAGUGACAAAAUUUUGGGCAUAUGUAAAAAGAAAAUGUUUGUGUAAAUCAAAGUAGUCAUAAACUGACAACUUGAGAAAGAGGAUAUUAGUAAGUUAGUGUUGCACGCGCAAGAAUCUGGAGAAGAUAGUAAUUUCUUGUUGCAUUGCAGGUUGACAGCACAAUUGUGAGCACUUGCAAUCUAGCUUAUAUAAUAGAUCAAGGGUGUUACACAAUGAAAGUGGAUGUUGCAACCACAAGCUAGACUAGGGAUCACAAAGAAUAAAACGUGGGAGAUAGACAGCCUCAAAAUCACCAAUACAUCACUUUUGGUGCUUAUGUAAUGCAAGAAAGAAAGAAUGUUCCAGUGUGCUGCAAUGACAUCAAAGGCAUUAAAAGAUCCUUCAUGUCUAACUUGUUAGCUUGGUGUAACGAUUGAAUAACAUGUUGUAUUGACAACUGAAAACUUGUUUAGAAUUUAGAUGCCAGCAGACAAUUUGUUCAAACUUUUGACAGCAACUUGAUGUUUAGUAAUGAAAACUUUUGACUUAUCAAUAGGAUUUUUUUUUUAAAAAAGAAGCAUUCAUCAGAUUAAAAAUGAAACAUUAAUUUGUGGAGUAGAUAUCCUUUAUCGUUAGAGCUCAAUUACCUAUUGUAGAUAUCCUUUAUCAUUAGAGCUCAAUUACCUAUUGUGCCUUAUCACCAUCAUCUUUGGAAUAGGCUCAACAAUUGCAAACGUAUCAACUAUCCAUUCAAAUCUACUGACUCAUAUUGAGAAAGCUCGGGACUUCCUAACAUUGGCACUUGAAGCCAACAUGUAUAUAAAGUGGACAGAGAUACCAUAAAAGAAUAUAUGAUUAACUUAUUCAUAAACCAAAAAGUUGUCUAGUUAGAAACCUAAGUCGGAGGGAUUAAGAGAUACCUAUCUAGCAGCUUUUGGUGCUUCGACGUUGCUUUAGCGACUGAAGGUAUGCCUCCAUUUAUUGUAGGAACAUGCUGCGUGGUUAAUAAUACAAUUUGUUAUAAGAAAAUUAACCAACACUGAAGAUGGUAUAUCUACACAAAAAUGGUGGCCGUUAAGGUUAUAAGGUUAAACGGUGGCCGUUAAGGUUAUAAGGUUGUUUACUAAUAUAAGGCUGUUUACUUAAUGAUGGUCGUUAAGUUUUACAUAUAGAUUAGUCUUUAAUCGGUGGCCGUAUAGAUUAGCAGGUUGGUUUCGCAAAUAAAACUAUAACCUUUAUGCAACAGAAAGAGAAUACACAUGGUCUCAACAAGGAGGAGAGUGCGCAGUAUGAGUAAAUUGCAAACCUUAGAAGAUGCCAAGAACUGCAGCAACCUGCAGUAGUUUAAGCAUUAGCUCAGAAACUGUCUCACCUGAGCAGGAAAACGAGAUUCACUAGGGUUCUUCUUGUCCUCCCAAGUAGACAAAUCAAUGUUUGAGCCACCAAAGCUAGCAACCUGCAACAAUUUAAGCAUUAGCUCAGGUUGAUUAUAUAAAUCUUUUGCAUUAAUUCUACUCUAUUCAAAGACAACUCAUCCAAAACCAAUACUGUCAAAACAAACAUACCCUAAAGUACCAUCAGAUCACCCAAUUCCUCUUGGAACUCAUACAGAUUUUGCUAUUUCCCAAGGGUAUUAUGGUAUAUGUGCAAAAGAAGCUUGGAAAUUUGGAUUUUGGGUUGUUGGGGAUAAAGGUCUGCUUUAGCGCCUCUUUCUUUACUUAAGCAAGUGUUGAUUCAUGAUAUAUGAGCGCCUAAGCAAAAAUCGCAAAAGAGUCCCCUAGUUACAAAAGGAACUUGGACUGCAUAAGCCGUAUCUCAAGUCAGAUUCUAUAGGUUGUUAAAAAAGUUGAUGCUUGAUUUUAAGUCCCAAAUUGACUCUUGGGUUAUUUCUUUGGCUUCAAUUACCCACACUGCAAUGUUUUACAUAAUAAUAUUGUGCACUCAUGCUUGUGAUUUUUUUUUAGGAUCACAAAAUGCCAAGAAUAGCACACCACCUUAUUAAUUAAGUAGAGGUCAAAAGAUAUUAUAACCUGGAUAGGUUUCUCUUUUUUGAGUGUCAAACGACAUAUUAUGCAAACUUGGUUAGGAAUAAGUUACUCCUAGAGUGGAUCUUACUCGAGCGGGUUCUUAAGAACCUUUCUACUUCUUAUCAGAAACUAGAGACUAUGGGGUAGCUAUGCUUUGCACCUAUACCAUGUCAUGGUAAUGAGCGGUGGGAUAGAGAGUCUUACGCUAAUCUCAAAGCUAUAAGAUUAUCAACCCCAAUGAUAAAAAUAAAAUGCAAGACUGUACAUUUCAAAGCUAAGGAAAUAAAAAGAUUUUAUAGCUUUCGAGUUCUGAUUAGUCGUAAUACACAACAAAGGAUUGUGCUCCAGGUAGCUGGUUGGUAUCUAAACUUUUCCCAUGUAAAAAUGUACCUUGGGUAACCUCUAUAGCAGGGAUAACUUCAAAAGAGUUAAUGAUCGAAACAAUGACUUAUUUUCAAUCAUUUAUAGACUUGACUCUCCAUGAGGACUUAGCAAAUAAUGACGAUUCAUAAAAUAGUGGUGUUGACACCUAAUUUUUGACCUUCAUAACUCAGUUUAAUUUUGAAUUUUUUCGAUUUUGAAAUAAAAUUACAACAUUUAUUUUAUCCGAAUAAAGGCUUUUCAAAGUAAUUGUCGGGGUGAUUUUAUCAUUUUAAGUAGUGAUUAUAUAUUAUCGUAUUAAAUUACACGAGAUUAUAUAAUUUGUUACUUAAAUAUUCAUUUUACAAAAUAUGAGAUUUUUAAUCAAGACUUAUCUUGAAUAUAAUAAUUAAAAUCUUGGUUCAAAUAUAAUUUAAUCUCAAAAAUAAUUUAUUUGGAUAAAUAUGUGUUUGAUUUUAUUAAAUCAAGAAGCUCGGGAUUAAGUGAGGUAUUAAUUUGUAUCGAAUUUCGGUUCAAUUUGGCCAUUCUAUCAAAUUUAGCUAUAAUUGAAAUCAAAUUGGCCUCAAUUGCAAUGCAAUUGGCUAAUUGAUUUUCAAUUUAGCUAAAAUUUAAACGAAUUCAAAUAGUUCUUAAUUCAAUUGGGGUUAUCUAUUAAAUAACCCCAAUUUCAACCCAUUUCUUAUCUUUAAUCACCAUCCCAAAUUCAACCUAACCACUCCAGCCCACCUUUCAAAUACCUUGACCCGACCCAACUCUUAAUUCCCCUCCCCCUUUAAUCAACAACAAUCAGCGUACAAACACAUAAACAACAACAUCAAUCAGCAAUCAACCUGCUUUAACCAACUAUAAACCUCUCAACUCAAAGACAACUCCAUCAACUUCGCGACCCAACCCGUAUCCCAUGAAACCCGUACCCGUUCCACUCGUUUUCAAAUGACAAAAACCUAGAAGCUUCAUAAAGUUGAUGCGCUGGCCCUCUCCAAUGUUUGAAUCCCGAGUUUGUCGGGUUGAUGUGUACAAUUUCGUACAAAGUUGGUCAAUUCUCAUUGGUUUAAGUAGUGCAUUUUGUUUUGCUUUUUUAAUUGGCCACCGAUGCAAUUUCUGGAGAGAAAUCCAAAAAAAGAAGGUACGGAUUGAGGUUGAAAAGCCAGGGGCAAGGGGGAAUUUUGAAUUUUGAAUUUCGAAUCCCUUAUUUUUAGAAAUCCCUAAUUUAAUCCUAUAGGACUUUCUAUAUAUAGCUCAACAUAGAGCCAUUCAAAGAGGAUUUUUUUUUGCUCUGGGGUUUCAAAAUUUUGGGGUUUGAAAAUUUGAUUGAGAAAGCUAGGGGGAAAUAUUUUUUCGAGAGAGAGUCUAGUUCGAAAACUGAGAGAGAAGGAAGAAAGGAAAAGAAAGAAACUUUUGGAGAAAAAUUAAUUCUUUAGUAUAAAUCCUGUUCUGGUUUUGAAAGUUCGUCAGCUAAAUUAGAGUCUCGAGUUGAUGGUGAAGAAGUUUUCUGGUGGUCGUGAUCUCUGUACGGAUUCAUCGUCUCGUUUUGCUGCUCCCAAACAGGUAACAUCCCAUUCCUUUAAGCAUUUGAUUGCUUCUGCUUCAUCUCACUAUUCUUUAGUAGUAAGUAAUUUGAGAACAUUCUGUAUGCUAGGUUGUCUGCUGUAGAGGUCUUAAAGACCAUAGGUUGUUAUUCUGGUGAAAGGUGUUGAAUCUAUUGUUAUGUUAGGAUUAAUCUAUGUUCGGAUUGACGAAUAUGUGGUUUCUGUCAUUUUUUUUUAUUUUCGUGUCAUGAUCUGUUGUCCACUCUUGGUGUUACUGAGUAAUUUUCAGCCUAUGCUUCACUUGAUGUAUUGUUUGUGGCUGAAAUGGCAGAUUUAUUAGGCAAAGUCUGUUGCUUUGAUUGUAUUCAGUGGUUUUAGUUGGAUGAUGUUUGGGUCGUAGUUGUUAUUUGAUUGUGUUUGUCUGUUGUUAUUACUGGAUGGUGUCACUAUUGUCGAGCUAGCGGCGUUGCUAGUAGAGCUACCUCUAAAAUUUCUUUGGCUUCUCAUGUACCAAAAGGACAAUGAAUAAGGUCCAAAACAUGCUAGAAAAUCCUAGGAUUACUGUCGUUUUGCUCAUUGUCACUGUUUGUCGUUAUCGUAACUGUUGAACCAGUAAUGUUCCAUCCUUUAGUUUUCGUCUUUUGUGUUCUUUCUUUUUGUUAUUUCAUAGUUGUAGUAAUUUUCAUGUAGCUCUGUUUGUUGGACUGUUUGUUGAAGAAGCCUUAGAAGGCUAUAGGAUUUUCAAUCGACUGUUUGAUCGAGAAGUCAUCCUUAUUGGUUGGUUUUUGUCUUGUCAAAGAAGAUUUGAUUUGCUGGUUGUUCUGUUAUAUUGAUUUUUUAACUACCUCAUCCGUAUAAAUCAUCAUUUCAUUUUGAAAUGCCUAUUUUUCCUAAGAUUAUAUGAUUACUUUGUUCAUCUUGAAUGUAAGUUGUUAAUUUCCUUUUGCGCAGCUUUUGUUCAAAUUCAAUAUAACUUUGUGUAAUCCUAUGCUUCACUAUAGCCUGUAGCUGUUUUUCUGAUUUUCAUGGCGUUACUCAAGAUGGCAUUUCUAUUUUGUGGGUAUUGUUUUUUCCUGGGUUGACUCGUAUUUAAAGUUUGAAAUAUUGUCUUGUGAUCAAUGUUUUCUUUUCUCCCCGAUCGAUUAUUUUCUUACAUAGUUCCUCCUUUCUUCUAGUCAAAUGUCUAUCAUCUCGACCUUUCUUAAAAUUGGUUACGUUCUCUUUGUUUAGAUGUUAAGGAUUAAUCUCUUUUUCUCCUAUAUCUAAAAUACUCUCUUAUGAAGUUUGAAGUGUUCACUGUUAAGAUAUGGAAUUUAAAAAAAAAGUUUUCUUUCAUGAAGAUUCAAAGGCUCCAUAUGCGUAUGAGCCUGUUAAUAUAUAUAUAUAUGUGUGUGAUUGGAUCACAUUCUGCAAUUUGCGUUGUGUCUUGAAUUGUGUUAAUGAAGGAUGGUUACUGCCUCUAUUUCAGGCAUCUGUUUGUGCUAACGAAUGUUUUUGAGAUCAUGCUUUAGGUAUGGAUUAAUUCUUCGUUGCGACUGAGUGCCAUUAGAUGUAGAAUGGGUGAUUUCUCUGAGAAAUUAUUAUGUUAAAUCUUAGUCUAAGUUUAAAUAUUUUCCAAGAACGAGCCUUUGUUUGGACUAAGAGCUUUCACCAAACUGUUUAUUGUCUUUCAAUUGGUCUUCUCAAACGGGGGCUCACCUUAUCCCUACGUGCAUAAACAACUAUUCCAAAUUCAUCGUGAAGGUGUCAUAUGCUUUGUCUUUAUGUUUUUGGAUCGGUUUUGCCAUUUUCGAAAACAAUGUCCUAACUGACUAGUUAAGGUCUGUGUCAUGUUGUUCUUUAGUUAGUUAUUUAGUUAUUUAUUUAUUUAAUCAUGUAUUAGUUAUCUUUAUAUUUUCUUCCUUCUUUUUGUUAAUUUUCCGGCUUUGUUGAUUAUUUAAGAUCCGUACGUUGCCCUUCUUAGUUAAACCUAUAUUAGUUUCCUUUUAAUUUUUUCCUCUCUUUGGUUUAUCAUGUGUUAGUAGGCUUCCUUCACUUUAUUUUACUUUCUUCCCCCCUUCUUCCUUUGUUUGAUUAUAUACUAAUGUGUUUUAUUUUCCCUCCUUUGCAUGGAAAUCAUUUGAGUCCUACAUGGACUCUUUCCUUUGUGCAUAUUCAUCAUGGGCUGCUAAGGCCUACUAUGUCUAUUGAGUCAAGCUCGAAAGAGAAUCCAUCGCAUGGCAUAAGGAUGCGAGGAGUCAAAAGAAGAAAAAUAGGUUAAAAUCCCAUCAUGGAAGUGGCAAAGGAGACUUGAAAGUCUCAUUUUUUUUAUUUACUUAUUCAUUGUUGCCUUCAUUUGUGUAUUUUUAUCUAUAUAGUUUAUUUCUUUAUUCAUUCAUUUGGGACACGAAGCCAAAAUUGUAUUUAGUAUAGGUGGAGCAGGAUUCGAGCCAAAUGCUCGAAAACUAGACUAGGACAGGUGAAAUGGGUCGAAAACCCAAUUAGACUAGGACAGGUCUUGUUGAUUUGGGCCCAAUGGCCUAAAUCCUUUACUUUCUCCUCCCUUCCCCUUUUAUGUGUUAUUUGUUUAUUAGUUUUGUUUAGACUUAGUUAAAAUCCCUACUAAGUCGCCUAAAUCUAUUUUACACAAGUUUUUUUUUUUAAAAUAUCAAAUCACUAUUUCAACAAAUUAAUCUUUUCAGAAGUUAAUCAAAAGAUGUUUUUAAACAAUCCGGAUAACUGCAAGUUAGCGGACGUUUUAGGUGCCUAACACCUUCCUAAAACUUUGAUAAGAACCGCUUACUCAAAAUCUCUUAACUUAAACGAUUUUUCUGUUUUGAAUCAUCUAAGUACAUUUAAAAGUUUCUUAAUUCGUUUUCAAAAUUAAGUGGCGACUCUUCAAAAAGUCAAAAUUUCUCUGCAAAACAGAAAUGGCGACUCUGCUGGGGACUUUUAACUAGGUUCUAACCAAAUGUUUGAUUUCGUCUUUUGAUUAACUAUUUAUGUGUUUAUAUGUUUCGAUUCUAUAAAGUUUAACUAUCACAUCUCAUGGCAUAUUCCUGCACUAUUUAAACUAUUUUGGGGUUUCGUGGAUGUCCCGAAAACUGCACUAUUUAGAAAAUCCUCCUUGUGUCUAUUGACCCCGAGUCAAUUAUAGACGAAUCAUAUUUAUGUGUUGAAAAAAAUAUAUGCUUGUCUAAUUCAAUCCAUUACCCUUUAGGGUCGGCUGAAGGCUUAUCUUUGUCUGCUUUCGUGUAGGAUAUGGCUCAACUACAUUUCCACGAAAAGUUCAAGAUGGUUACUAAACCUGAUGAUUUCUUGAAACUAUGGUGGGAUCACAUGAGCGCAAAAGAGAGAAAGAUUGUUAGAACAAACAUCGGGUAUCUCUCUUAUUUGAUCGAGAUGGACGCUUGGCCCGAAAUGAUACAUGUACUAACAACUUUUUGGGAUAAUCAAAAUAUGGUAUUUUGCUUCGGGGAUGUUGAAUUGACUCCUACCAUUGAAGAGGUAUUGAUUUUUUACGAGAGUACAAAAAUGUGUUUUAAGAGAAGGGAGACACCGGAUAAGAACAUUUUAGUCCCGGUUGUGUGGGAUUGUCAAAAGAUCAAGGAGGUAUUUUUAACUGACGACACCUGGCUAGGAGACCGUGAUGAAGCAAAUGCCACUUUUCGUGAGUUGUAUUAUCAGUUCGAAAGAUUCAAUGCUUUUCAUAAAUUUGGGCAUAAAUUUGAGUCAUAAGAAAAAUGGAAGGAGACGAGAGCCUUUGCAUUUUCGGUAGGUCCUACUUGGAACCAUGGUGUUCCCACAGGGGGAAAAUAGCACAAUUCAUCCAAGGGUUGUCUCAGUGACCCAUCCACUCUUCUUUGGAAUGGAGUACAAUUCUAAAAAGGUAACCACAACUUAGCUUCCAUGAUUGUCGCCGACAUAUAUCGAGCUUUGGGAAGAUGUCAAGUCGAGAAUCAUUUCUUUCAUGGUUGCACCUUUAUAUUACAAUGGUGGAUGAUGAGCAUUUGGUGAAAAAUCCUAGAACGGCAUAACCUGAUCACAAAACAAGAAGGAAUCUACUAGAAUUGCACGACAUGUGGUUGUUUUGACAUAAGUUAAAAGGGAAGCAUCUCAUGAAUUUUGGUUUAAGACUCUUGGAGAAUUAAGAGAUGACGAUGUCCAAUGGUCCAUUAACUAUCUUCAUUUAGGGAAAUAUACUAUUCGAGGGGGCGAGUGGCCUUUUCUAGUACUUUCGGGUCUCAGGGGAACCGUCCCUACAAUCUUGGCAAAGUUCUUAGGCAAUUUGAGAUCAAGCAGGAGACGCCUCAAAUCGAUUCUAUGCUCAGAUUCUUCACCAAAUAUGAUGAAAGUGAGCUCCCGCUCAAAGAAUACAUGAUAAACGGAUGGAGAAUAAGAAGGUGGACGGAAGUCUCUUUCCGUAUAGGGUAUAAACCUGAAGACAGCGACACUUACAAGGAGUGGUUCAAAAAGAGCCUCAUUGGAACAUUAAUUUUGGGGCCGAAGGUGCCCACUCAGGUUGUGGAUGUAGAAUUCGAGCAUCAGAUCUGACUCCACAAGGUUCAGGAUGAGUUUCAGAAAAGUGAAAUCGCGCACCGACAGAUGCAUGUAGAAGAUUCUUUAACAAUACGUAUGUUGAGGAAAGAGUUGAAAAGAGUUAGGCAAGAUGCUAAUGAUGCUAGGUAGUGUUUAAUCGAUUUGGAUGAUAGCAUGGCCUCUCAACUCGAUAGUAUAAGAAAAAUGACUUACAACAGCAAGGCACAGUUAUGUGGGAGUCAUCUGAUCAUCAAUAGGUAGCAAAUAGAACAGGAGGUGAACAAGGCAAAGAAGGCAAAGGCAUACGAAGGAGACUCCGGUAGCUAGUUUUUCUAUUUCCCCUGCGUGGGAACUUAUCUUUUUUUAUGUUAUUUCCCUUUUUCCCUAAAGAUUGUAUCCCUCUUUUGUUAUCCUUUGUAGGCAUUUAUGCCCUUUUUUUGUGUCUAUAUGAUUUGGGGGAUAAUGGAUUGACUUCAAGGAAGCAUAUAUUUUCUUCAAAAUCAUUAGGCCUGAACCCUUGGCUCAAAAAGGGUCACCCCAGUUAGGAUAUGCAUUAUAUUAAUGUUUUGUGUAAUAUAAUUGUCUUAUGUGCUUGUGUGUGUUUGUUUGGAUCAAAGGAAAGUUUAUCCACUAUGCUCCUAUGGAUGAAUUUGGCUAUGACUCAAACAACUUUACGUGAUUAUUUUUUGUCAAAUAUUUUGCAUUACUUAUCACAUACGGACACUAACACAUCUGCCUUUGAGUUGUUUUACAUUAUAGAUAAUAGAAACUACUUCGUGUUGAUUUAAGCUGGAAGAACAUCCCUAAUUCACCCGGUCAAAAGCAUACAAAAUCCCACCCUUUAACCAUCAUUCAAUAAUGACUGAAAAUGAGGAAGAGAACACAUUAACCAUCAGGGACAAUGUAAUAGCGAAAUAGAGUGAGAUGAUUGCGGAACUCACAAGAAAGUUUGAAAUGCUUCAGGAGGAAAUAAAUCGUACUCGAGAUUUGGCUCACCUGGCCAUUAUUUUUAAUGAUCCCGCUCUAGGAGGACAUGGGACUCCACUCCAAACCCCUUUCCUCAGUAUGCCUAUUCUCGGUGAUCAGCCAAAUAACAUAUCGUCCAUCUCUGCCCCUCCACUUUUCCAAAAUACCAAUCGUGAAAAUAACCCAGAUGCUUACCAUCCAUAAAAUCCAUCUCUAACCCCGCAAAACCCAUCUCUGAAUCCAUUCCCAAAUCCCCAAAACCCAUUUGUAAAUCAACAAAAUUCAUGCCCAAAUCCACAAGAUUCACUCCCAAAUCCACAAAAUCCAUCCCCGAAUCUUCCAUCGAAUCUAUCCUUGAAUCCACCAAAUUCGUUUCCAAAUUUGCAAAAUCCUUCUUAGAAGCCACCAAACUACUCGCAAAUUCCAGAAAACCUUCCCAAAUUUCAAAACGUCCUCCCCACCUACCAACCAAAUUCCUUUCAUCCGCAAAAUCAAGCCUCUCUUCCAAGUCCUCCUUAUGCCAUCAUAUGCCCCGACAUUUAUAAUCCCCUUCCUUUUCCCGAGAUAGAACAUUACGAAGAGAAGGAGAAAUAGUGGAGAACCGAGUAUGAGAUAAAGUUGCUAGCUAUGAAUGAAGAGAUCAUGUGGAUCAAAUAAUCUCAUGGAGUGAGGGACCACGGCGAUUUAGGGUACGAUGACUUAUACAUUUACCCUGGAGUAGAUCUACCAGAAGGGUACAAGGUCCCCAAGUUUAAAGUGUUCAACGUUAUCGAAAACCUAAUGGCCCAUCUGAGAAGGUAUUGUGAUCAAAUGGUGGGGGUAGGGAAAAAUAAAGCAUUAUUGAUGCAUUUGUUCAGCCGGAGUUUAAAUGGCGAAGCCUUAGAAUGGUUCAUGUCUCAGGAAUUAAAAAGAUGGACUAGUUGGAAAGCAUUGGCCAAGGGUUUCCUUGACAAGUUCGUGUUUAACGCUGAAAUAGUCCCUGACUGAUAUUCACUAGAUUAGAUCAAACAAGGAAGUGAUGAAUGUUUUUGUAACUAUGCUUUCCGUUGGAGAAAAGAAGCUGCCAAAGUGCAACCCCCCAUGUCUGAGAAAGAAAUGGUAUCUGUGUUCUCUCGCGCUCAAGAAGGAGAACAUUAUACCAGGAUGGUGUCCGCUGUCAGGGCGAGUUUUGCAAAUUUGGUAAAAAUAGGAGAAUCAAUGGAAGAAGGUAUUCGUAUAGGAAAAACUGCCAAGACUCCAACAUCAUCCGGAACUUCUAUGUUCUCGAAGAAGAAAAAGGAGGAUGUAGGCACGAUUUCUGCUGAUUCUAUUGCAAAAAUAAAAAAGAGGUUCAACUCUAGGAAUAUUUUCUCUUCUCCGCCGUCACCAAACUUUCAUCAUGUAUUCUACACCCAACCCUAAUACCAAGCUUCACUCCUAAAUGCCCAACCUCAGUACCAAACUCCACUCCCAAAUAGCUAACACCAGUACCAAGCUCCACUCCCAAAUGUCCAAUCCCAAUUCUUGCUCCACAUCUAAAUAUUUUUCCCCAAUAUCAAGUUCCACCACCGAAUUAUCAUCCUCAUGUCCAAUCCACUCUUUAAACAACUGAAUAAAUACCCAAGCACCUCCGAAUUAUCAUCAAGUGCCUCCUCCUGCAAAUCAGAAUCACUAUAACCCUCCGCGUCCAAACAUCGAAAAGAAACCGCCCCGAAACUUCACGCCACUUACGAAAAGUCCCACCAAACUAUUUGAAAGAUUGAAGAAUGCCGAUCAUUUACAACCGAUCCAUCCAAAUUCUGUCAAUCUCAACUCCAAAUUUUAUCAUCCUGAUCAAAAUUUUGCCUAUCAUUCAGGAGCAACAGGGCACAGUACCUAGGACUGUAUUACCUUGAAACAUAAGAUCUAAUAUUUGAUUGAUCAAAAGGCCAUCACACUUUAGUCACCGAUGCCAAAUGUCAACAGUAACCCAUUGCCUAAUCAUGGGGACUUACAGUUUACAUGAUUGAAUAGAAAAAGAAUGGGUAUCUGGAAAGACUAUUACUAAGGUGAAUUCAGAAAAGUGUAAAAGGGAGGAAGAGGUAGAAAAAAUAGAGAGAGCUGUGGCUACCUUAAGUGUCAAUGAGAAACCCCAUUUAUAGUGAUGAAGGCCUCGAUCCAAGUGUACACUCCCCCACCAAGGAAAGAGUUUAUUGUACAGACCGCUGCUGCCCAAAGGAUGACACGAUUGGGACGAUGCUACAUCCCUGAAGAAUUGAUCAACCAAAAAGAUUCAUAGAAAAGGCCAAUCAUUGAAGGGGAGGCUGAGGAAUUUUAGAGGCAUAUGCAACCGAAAAACUAUUCAAUUGUCAAAUAUUUAGAGAAGACUCCUGCCCAAAUUUCCAUUUUGGCAUUAUUAAUGAGCUCACAAUACCACCAACAAGCUCUAUCAAAGGUCUUGGAUGAAUCAUAUGUUCCCACAGGAAAGAGUGUUGAGAACCUGGAUGUGAUGAUAGGAAAUAUUAUGGGAAAUCAUCGCAUAUCAUUCAGUGAUGAAGAGUUGUCGUUUGAGAGAGUGAUGUACAACAAAGCCUUGCACGUCACUGUCAUUUGCCAAGACUAUGCGAUUAAUUAGGUAUUGCUAGAUGACGGAUCUGGUGUGAACAUUUGUCCUCUCCCCACGUUGGUUCAAAUGGGCUAUGAUUUGGGGAAAAUUCAUCAAAGCUACCUAAGUGUGAGAGCAUUUGAUGGAGGGUAGAGAGAUACCAUAGGAAAAAUUGAUUUGUACAUCCAAAUGGGAUCUGCUGAGUUCAAAACUAAAUUUUAUGUUAUGGAUAUUCAUCCUAGCUACAACCUGCUCUUGGGAAGACCAUGGAUACAUGUUGCAAAGGCCAUUUCAUCACCCCUUCAUUAAUUAUUGAAGUUCAUUUGGGAGGAUCAUGAAGUAGUCAUCCAAGGGGAAAGAAGCCGAGCGGAUUAUCCCAAUGGUUAUGUGUCGGUGAUUGAAGAUGUUUCAAAGGGUAGUAGUUUAUAUACAGUAGAAAUUGUAAAUGCUGUGGAGAAGAAUCUAACGCCCAAAGCGCCAAUGCCUUCUGUCUACAAAAUGAUUACGAUGUUGAUGUUAAGAAAUGGAUUCGAUCCUGGUUGGGGGUUGGGUAAGAGUCUGCAAGGAAUUAUUGAGACCAUCAUGAUCCCAGAGAAAGCCUCUAAGUAUGGGUUAGGAUAUCGGCCUACAAAGGAGGAUGAGAUUGAUAAUAAGUCAGAGGCGAAUCUGUUUAGGCCUCUACCACUCCUAUACCAGUCAUUUCCCAUGUGUGAGAUAUUGAAUGAUGAUGGACUUAGGGAUGGGAUAGGAAAUCUGUUCCAGGGAUGCAAUGUUGUACCAGAAGAUUUCCCAAAGUCUAGUGGAGUGAAGAAGAUUGCACCAGGGGAGGCCUUGCAAAACUGGACCUCCACUCCAUUUAUAACCCAUUACCCAUCAUGGUGGAUGAAAGGGCAAUUACUAAUAGUUUCUUAAAAUCGGUGAUGAUCCGGAUGAGGCCCUGCGAUCCACCCUUUACAUCUCAAAUUUUCUUUUCGUAUUUUACUGCUUUCAAAAGGCAUGGGCUUAUGUUUACGCGAGUCAUGAGCCAUAGUUUGUAAUUAUCUCUCAAAUUUUAAUGAAAAGGCCUUUCCUUAUUUAAAAAAUAAUAAUAAUAAUAAUAAUAAUAAUAAAAUAAAUAAAUAAAUUAUUUUUCAAAACAACACUAUUUAUACAUUUUAUUAUUAUCUUGUUAUCAUCUAACUUGGUUUGUUUGUUUAUUACAGUAACAGUUACUCAAAACCUGCCAAUGCCAUGUCAUGUCAAAGCUUAGAUGAACAAAAUAAGGGGAAUGGUGAUGAUUGAGAGGAAGGUGAUGAGAAAUGAUUAGUUAAAGAUAUAGAGGAGUUUGAGAACCGAGAUAAGCCCAACCUAGAGGAAACUAAAACAGUCAACCUGAGAGAUUAUGAUGAAAUCAAAGAAACAAGUGUCAGUGUCCACCUGGCGGAAGCACCAAAGAGAGAUCUCAUUUACCUUUUGCGGGAAUACAUUGACGUGUUUGCCUGGUACUAUGAUGAUAUGCCGGGAUUAAGAACUAGCAUUGUGUUGCAUAAGUUGCGGAUAAAUCCUGAGUUUGAUCCAGUCAAGCAAAAAAUGCAAAAAUUCAAGCCAGAUUUAAGUCUAAAGAUCAAGAAAGAAGUGACAAAACAAAUCCAGUCUAAGGUUGUGGAGGUAAAAAAAUAUCCGACAUGGCUAGCCAAUAUUGUCUCGGUGACGAAGAAGGACGGCAAGAUUCAAAUUUCUGUUGACUAUAGAGACUUGAAUAGGGCCAGUCCUAAAGAUAAUUUUCCGCUGCCCAACAUCCACAUCCUCAUUGAUAAUUGUGCAAAACAUAAAAUGCAGUAUUUCAUUAAUUGUUUUGCGGGUAUCAUCAGAUAUUGAUGGAUGAGGAAGACGCAGAAAAAAUGGCUUUUAUUACGCCCUAGGGUGUUUAUCAUUACAGGGUAAUGCCUUUUUGUCUCAAGAAUGCGGGUGCAGCAUAUAUGAGGGCUAUGAUGAGCAUUUUCCAUGAUAUGAUUCAUAAAGAGAUUGAGGUGUACGUGGAUGAUGUAAUUAUUAAAUCCCGCGAGAGUUCGGAUCAUCUGACCCAUCUGGAGAAAUUCUUUAACAGAUUAAGAAAGUACAAUUUGAAGUUAAACCCUGCUAAGUGUGCUUUUGGUGUGCCAUCAGGAAAGUUAUUGGGAUUCAUAGUCAGCAGGAGAGGCAUCGAGCUAGACCCAUCCAAAAUCAAGACAAUUCAGAAUUUUCCAUUGCCGAGGACCAAGAAGGAGGUUAUAAGUUUCAUGAGCCAUUUGAAUUACAUUAGCAGGUUCAUUGCUCAGUCAACAGUCAUAUGCGAGCCAAUUCUCAAGAUGUUGAAGAAAAAUGCAUUGAAUGAGUGGACAGAAGAAUGUUAGAGAGCUUUCGACCGCAUCAAGGAAUAUUUGUCUGCACCGCCAGUUUUGGUUCUGCCCAGAGAAGAAAUUCCAUUGCUGCUUUACCUAUCAAUCUCAGAAAAUGCUAUCGGAUGUGUCCUCGAGCAACAUGAUGAGAUCGGUAGGAAAGAGAAAGCCAUCUACUACUUGAGUAAAAAGUUUACACCAUAUAAAGCCCGUUACACUCUCAUAGAAAGGAUAUGUUGCGCUCUGACUUGGGCUGCACAAAAGUUGAGGCAUUAUCUGUCAUCAUACACAACAUACCUCAUCUCGAGAAUGGAUCCUUUAAAGCAUAUAUUCUAGAAAGCCAUGCCCACGGGAAAGCUAACCAAGUGGCAAAUAUUGUUGAGCGAGUUUGACAUCGUGUAUGUAACUCAAAAGGCAAUCAAGGGGCAAGCUUUGGCAUAUCAUUUGGAAGAGAAUCCAGUUGAUGAUGAAUAUGAGCCACACCAAACUUACUUUCUAGAUGAGGAAAUUCUAUUUGUGGGAGAAGACAUUACAAGAAUUUACCAUGGAUGGAGGUUAUUCUUUGAUGGAGUGGUCAACUUCAAAGGUUCAGGAAUUGGAGCAGUAUUGCUGUCAGAAACUUGCCAACACUAUUAAGUGACCGCUAAGUUGCGUUUCUCGUGCCCCAAUAACAUGGCCGAAUAUGAGGCUUGCAUCCUAGGUCUCAAACUGGCACUUGAUAUGGGUGUUCAUGAAUUGCUAGUCAUUGAGAUUUCAGAUUUGCUGAUUCACCAGGUACGAGGAGAAUGGGCGGUAAAAAAUUCCAAAAUUACUCCUUAUGUAGAGCUGGUGCAUGAAUUAUGUGGAAAAUUCAAAGAAGUUGAUUUCAGACAUAUUCCAAGGAUACAAAAUAAGUUUGCUGAUGCUUUGGCCACUAUAUCUUUUAUGAUUCAGCAUCCAGAUCAGUGUUACAUUGAUUCUUUGGAGAUAACCUUGAAGGAGCAACCCGCACAUUGUGCACACGUUGAACAGGAUCCUAAUGGAAAGACAUGACACUAUGAUAUUAAAAAGUAUUUAGAAUCUGGAAUAUAUCCAGACGAGGCCAGUAACAACCAAAAGAAGCCAAUCCAGCGUUUGGCAAAGAACUAUUUUCCAAGUGGGGAAAUCUUUUUUAGGAGGAGUCCAGAUUUAGGAUUCUUAAGAUACAUCGAUGCUGCAGAAGCCAAUAAAUUGAUAAAAGAAGUACACGCUGGAGUAUGCAGUCCCUACAUGAAUGGGUUUUCCCUUGCUAGAAAGAUCCUGAGAACCGGUUACUUUUGGAUGACUAUGGAAAAUGAUUGUAGUAGGUAUGUGCAGAAGUGCCCAAAAUGUUAGAUACACAAAAAUUUGAUUCGAAUGCCUCCACAUGAGCUUCAUGUGAUGAAUUCACCUUGGCCUUUCGUAGCUUGGGGAAUGGAUGUUAUUGGACCAAUAGAGCCACCGGCAUCGAAUGGGCAUAAAUUUAUUUUAGUUGCUAUUGACCACUUUACUAAGUGGGUCAAAGCUGCUUUUUAUAGAGCCGUCACCAAGAAAGUGGUUUCAGAUUUUAUCAGGAAUAGAUUGAUUUGCCGAUUUGGAGUGCUAGAAUUGAUUAUUACUGAUAAUGAGGCAAACUUGAACAGUCACUUGAUGAAUGAUAUUUGUGACCAAUUUAAAAUAGUGCAUCGCAACUCGACCACAUAUCGUCCACAGAUGAAUGGAGCCAUGGAAGCUGCCAAUAAAAACAUCAAGAAGAUCUUGAGAAAGAUGAUAAAAAAUUAUAGAUCAUGGCAUGAGAUAUUGCCUUACUCUUGGCUUGGGUAUCGCACGACAGUUCAAACCUCCACCGGGGCGACUCGUUAUCUAUUGGUUUAUGGGAAUAAAGCUGUGAUACCUGCUGAGGUUGAAAUACCUUCCCUAAGGAUUAUUCAGGAAGCCGAACUAAGCAACGAAGAAUGGGUUCACGUUCGCUACGAAUAACUCAUAUUGAUUGAUGAAAAGAGAAUGGUUGUUGUAUGUCAUGGUCAGCUGUAUCAGCACAGGAUGGUUCAUGCCUUUAACAAAAAAGUAAGAACUCAAACAUUCAAAGUUGGGCAAUUGGUUCUCAAGCGUAUAUUUCCUCACCAAGAUGAGUACAAGGGCAAGUUCACUCCAAAUUGACAAGGGCCAUACAUAGUUGCAAGGUACUAUAUCUAGGGGCUCUGAUUUUGUCUGAGAUGGAUGGUCAAGAGUGGACUAAACCAAUCAAUUCCGAAGCAGUAAAAAGAUAUUAUGUUUGAAAGACGUGCUAAGUUUUGCGUUCCUUAGUUUACUCGUAAUUGCCUUUAUAGUAAUGUAGUUUUAUAAUGUGUAAUUGCCUAGAACCCUUUUCCCUUUAUGUAUGAACUAUGUUUGACCUUCAAAGAGGGAUACGUAGGCGGCCUAUAUCGGUUUUGGUCAACCCCUUAGGAAAAUUUAUCCUUUCCCUUUAUGUAUGACCUACGUGAUGACUUGAAUUCUCAAGAAUGAGAUACAUAGGCGGCCUAUGUUGGCUUUGGUCAACCCAUUAGAUUUUUCUAUUUAUAUCCCUAGCAUAGUAUUGAACUACGUUUGACCUAAUUCCUGCUUCAACGGGAUACGUAGGCGCCCCAACGGCUCUGUCAUAUAACCCUAGUAAAUAGAAACUAGGUAGAGUUUUUGAGAAGGAAUCUCGAAAAUUCACAAAAGAAGAUCAACAAGGAGAAUAAAGACCAACAAAGACUUUAAAUCCACUCGAGAUGACAUCAUCUCACACUACUUUAAAUGGGGGCAUAAAUUUUAAGGAGGUCCUCAAAAUUUCCACUAAUAUAUUGAAAUAUGUUUCAAAUUUCCCAGCACUAGGGGUUGAAGUUGAGAUUUGAGAAUCACCACCUAUGAUAAAGUCUAGGAAGAUUGAAUCUCUGCCUUUGAUAAAACUUCUAAUAGAGAGCCUCGACAAUGCUGAAUCCCUAGCGAUCCUCCGUCAAAUGUCGGACAUUUUCAGAAUCAAGAAAAAGAUGGUUGUUGAGCUAGCACAUUACAUGUUUGACAGAGAUUUUCUAAAGUUUUGUAGGAGUUUUCGAAACUAUUUUCUAAAAAUUAAAACUACUUUCAAAAAUAUAUAUAAAUCUUUUACUUAGUGAUUGCCCAGACAUCAAUUAGGAUGGGGAGUCAGGGGUGGAAGUCCCAACAUAACGGAGUACACAAAAGAUGGUGUGGAGUAAAUGGAGAAUCGAAGAAGGUCAACACGGAUUAGUUUCAUUCAAACUAAUCAUUUUUCUGUGGAUACAAGGAUCGAUAUACAAAAUGAGUGUUUCUUUCAAAAAAUCCCCAAGUAAGUCGGGAGCCAUGUCAUAGCAUAUAAUGCUUAAGAACGAUAUUUUUGGGUAGCUCAAAAAUGGGUUUAACACCCAUUUAUCGAGGACCAUUUGAAUUAUCCAUCUCAUUUCUUGAGAUCAUGGAGGACAAACAAAGGCGUCUUCUUUUCUUUAAGAACAUUGUAUUUAGAAUUUUUCUAAAAAAAUGGUUGCUAGAAAAAGCGACUUUGUGUCUACUAAUCGUCUACUUCAAGUACAGGUACAUGUAGAAAGCAAGACGCAGAAAAAAAACUCAGGUGAAACUAUUUUUAAAUUGCCAAGAGGGCCAUUGCAUAUCAUUUUCAAGAGGGUCAUUGCAUAUCAUUGCCAAGAGGGUCAUUUCAUAUCAUUGCCAAGAGGGCCAUUGCAUAUCAUUGCCAAGAGGGCCAUUUCACAUCAUUUCUAAGAGGGCCAUUGCAUAUCGUUGCCAAGAGGUCUAUUGCAUAUCAUUGCCAAGAGGGCCAUUGAAUAUCAUUGCCAAGAGGUCCAUUGCAUAUUAUUUCCAAGAGGGCCAUUUCACAUCAUUGCCAAGAGUUCCAUUCAUAUCAUUGCCAAGAAGGCCAUUUAUAUCAUUGCCAAGAGGACCAUUCAUACCAUUUGCCAAGAGGGACAUUUCAUAUCUGUUGACACACAAGACAUAAACGCUGGCGUCAAGGAUAUCAUAAGCAUUUCAUAUCCGUUGACACAUAAGACAUUAACACUAGCGUCGAGUAUAUCAUCAGCAUUUCAUAUCUAUUGACACGCAAGACAUAAACACUAGCAUCGAGGAUAUCAUCACCACCAUUAAAUAUUUGUUGACACACUAGACAUAAAGCUGGUGUCGAGGAUAUCUUAUCAUUUUAUGAAUCAGCAUCUGAAUAUAUCAAGAGCACACGAUUUGAACGGAUGCUUUUAAGUCGUUAUCCAAGGAUGAAUAAUAUAUAAGAUUUCCUAGAAAUUGACAAUUUGGGGGUCAUCUAUAAGUCAUAUUAUUUGAAAUAGGAUAGUGUUCAAGAUCACCUAUGAUUUGAUAGCCUGUAGGUCAUCCAAAAGUCAUAACAACAUCCUAACCGGAUAGUGUGCAUGAUCGCCAAAAAGUCGACAGUCUGGAGGUUAUCCAUAAGUCGCAACUAAAUCCUUACCGGAGAAUAUGUGAGAUUAUCAAAUUGAUAUGUCCAAAGGUUCUCUAUAAGCCGCGUCAUAUCCAUGAUCGAUUAUGUGCAGGAUUAUCUAUAAGUCAUAUUGUAUCCAAGGUCGGAUGAUGUGUAGGGACACCUAAAAGCUAGAGAUUGGAGGCAUAUCUGUAAGCCAUCUCUUAUCCAAGGUCAGAUAAUGUAGAGGAUUACCUAAAAGCUAGCAAUUCAAAGGAUAUCUGUAAGUAGCCUCGUAUCCAACAUCAAAUAAUGCGCAAGAUUAUUCAAAGAUUGACAAUUUAAGAAAAAUUUAUAAAUCGAUCAUUGGCUAUAACCGGAGAGUUUAUCAUUCCAUAUACAUCAAGCGAUACAGGUGACCAAAAGGGUUGCCUCAUCAAUACAAGAUUACACAGUUGCAAGGACCGUUCUGCAUAAAGUAUUGCCGGUAUUCAAAAAGGCCACCCCACUUUGAAGACAUAUUCAACUGACAAAUAUCAUAAUUAUACAAAAACCAAGAUGGUUGUUUUAUUUGUCGUUGCCAGUUAUUUCAUUCCAAAUAGGUACAUGGAAAAAUGACUUCACUUCUUAGACAACAACUCACGUGGAGAUAUGGUAAAAAAAUAUAUGCCUCUUCCGUGAAUUAUGUUUAGCACUAACAAUUUUGUUUGAGAUAUUUUCGAGAGCAUCCGAGAGGAUGAAAAUAUCAAAUCAAAGCCACAGGUGUGGACGACUCCAGGUAGGACGCAGCACAACAUGGAACUCCAGUCUAGAGAGUGAUGUUAAACUCUCUGGAUGCGAGCUAAAGGAUGAUCACCACCACCAUCCAACCACACCCCUGUUAGAAGGCAUGUGGGUAUUUUGGGAUAUUCUAUGUCUCAGCUUCAACUUCGGGAUAUUUUUUAACUCAUGCCGAGGGUAACCUUCUCUUUCUUACAAAUUCGAGUGAUAGGACUCCUAGAGUCUUUGAAAUUAUGCCCAGCUAAGUUCUUGCCUAUGGGUGUGAAGGAUCCCACAUUCAUGGUUAAGAGGUUACAAGCCUCUUUUCUGAAACUUGAUCAACUUGUCACUCAGCUUGAGCCAAAGAUCGUCUAAAAUAAAAGACUAUCUUUCCUAUCGAUUGAGUCGAACUAUAAGUAGUAUGAUUCCCUGAGUCUCAAGGAUAUGUAGGCUGGGAUCUAUGUAGCAAACUCGACUGCAUUCCAACCUCCCCCAAAUCCCUUUAUUUCCUAGCUUUUCAGUAGUUAAAAACUCCAAAAAAACUGAGAUAGCUGGUGAUUUUUUUGAAAAUCGUGCCUUAAAACAAGUUUUAUGAACUACAAGUGGCCUAGAUUCUCUUAUAACCUGAGAUAUGUAGGAAACCCGACCUGGGUUUGGCCAUGACUCUAUGAGACUUGUGCGAAAGCUAACCUUUUUUAGUUUUGAAUUUAUGGUGGAACAAAAAUUAGGAACGUCAACCUCCAUUUGACCAGGGUUACUUGCAUCCACCCUACCUAAAGGGAGGGGCAGUUGUUGACACCUAAUUUUUGCCCUCCAUAACUCAGUUUAAUUUCGAAUUUUUUCGAUUUUCAAAUAAAAUUACAACAUUUAUUUUAUCCGAAUAAAGGCUUUUCAAAGUAAUGGUCAUGGUGAUUUUAUCAUUUUAAAUAGUGAUUAUAUAUUGUCGUAUUCAAUUACACGAGAUUAUAUAAUUUGUUACUUAAAUAUUCAUUUUACAAAAUAUGGGAUUUUUAAUCAAGACUUAUCUUGAAAAUAAAUAUAAUAAUUAAAAUCUUGGUUCAAAUAUAAUUUAAUCUCAAAAAUAAUUUAUUUGGAUAAAUACGUGUUUGAUUUUAUUAAAUCAAGAAGCUCGUGAUUAAGUAAGGUAUUAAUUUGUAUCGAAUUUCAGUUUAAUUUGACCAAUCUAUUAAAUUUGGCUAUAAUUGAAAUCAGAUUGGCCUUAAUUGCAAUGCAAUUGGCUAAUUGAUUUUCAAUUUAGCUAAAAUUUAAAAGAAUUCAGCUAGUUCUUAAUUCAAUUGGGGUUAUCUAUUAAAUAACCCCAAUUUCAACCCAUUUCUUAUCUUUAAUUACUAGCCCAAAUUCAACCUAACCGCUUCAGCCCACCUUCCAAAUACCUUGACCCAGCCUAACUCUUAAUUCCCCUCCUCCUUUAAUCAACAACAAUCAGCGUACAAACACACAAACAACAACAUCGAUCAACAAUCAACCAACUUCAACCAACGAUAAACCUCUCAACUCAAAGACAACUCCAUCAACUUCGUGACCCAACUUGUAUCCCACGAAACUCAUACCCGUUCCACUCGCUUUCAAAUGAUAAAAACCUAGAAGCUUCAUAAAGUUGAUGCGCUGACCCUCUCCAACGUUUGAAUCCUGAGUUUCUUGGGUUGAUGUGUAUGAUUUCGUACAAAGUUGGGGUUGAGUGUCAAAAAAAGAGGUACGGAUUGAGGUUGAAAAGCCAUGGCAAGGGGGAAUUUCAAAUUUUGAAUUUUGAAUCCCCUAUUUUUAGAAAUCUCUAAUUUAUCCCUAUAGGCAUUUCUAUAUAUAGCUCAACAUAGAGCCAUUGAAAGGGGAUCUUUUUUUUGCUCAGGGGGUACAAAAUUUUGGGGGUUGAAAAUUUGAUUGAGAAAGCUAGGGGAAAUAUUUUUUUAAGAGAGAGUCUGGUUCGAAAAUUGAGAGAGAAGGAAGAAAGGAAAAGAAAGAAACUUUUGGAGAAAAAUAAAUUCUUUAGUAUAAAUCCUGUUCUGAUUUUGAAAGUUCGUCAGCUAAAUUAGAGUCUCAAGUUGACGGUGAAGAAGUUUUUCAAUGGUCGUGAUCUCCGUACCAGUUCAUCAUCUCGUUUUGCUACUCCAAAAUAGGUAACAUCCCAUUCCUUUAGGCAUUCGAUUGCUUCUGUUUCAUCUCACUAUUCUAUAGUAGUAAGUAAUUUAAGAUCAUUCUGUAUGCUAGGUUGUCUGCUGUAGAGGUCUUAAAGACCAUAGGUUGUUGUUCUGGAGAAAUGUGUUGAUUCUAUUGUUAUGUUAGGAUUAAUCUAUGUUUGGAUUAUCGAAUAUGUGGUUUCUGUCAUUUUUUUUAUUUUCGUGUCAUGAUCUGUCGUCCACUCUUGGUGUUACUGAGUAAUUUUUGGCCUAUACUUCACUUGAUGUAUUGCUUGUGGCUGGAAGGACAGAUUUAUUAGGCAAAGUCUGUUGCUUUGAUUGUAUUCAAUGGUUUUAGUCGGAUGAUGUUCGGCUCGUAGUUGUUAUUUGAUUGUGUUUGUCUGUUGUUAUUACUAGGUGGUGUCGCAAUUGUCGAGCUAGCGGCGUUGCUAGCAGAGCUACCUCUAAGAUUCCUUUGGCUCCUCAUGUACCAAAAGGACAAUGAAUAAGGUCCAAAACAUGCUAGAAAAUCCUAGUUUUCCUCGAAAACUAUUUUAUUUGAGUCUUUUAGAGUGAGGAGGACUAUUGAAACAAUCUGUCAUUUCGCUCGUUGUCACUGGUUGUCAUUAUCGUAACUGUUGAACCAGUAAUGUUCCAUCCUUUAGUUUCCAUCUUCCUUGUUCUUUCUUUUUGUUAUUUCAUAGUUGCAGUAAUUUUCAUGUAGCUCUAUUUGCUAGACUGUUUGUUGUAGAAGCCUUAGAAGACUAUAGGAUUUUCAAUCGAUUGUUUGAUUGAGAAGUCAUCCUUAUUGGUUGGUUUUUGUCUUGUCGAAGAAGAUUUGAUUUGCUGGUUGUUCUGUUAUAUUGAUUUUUUUUAACUACCUCAUCUGUAUAAAUUAGAAUUUCAUUUUGAAAUGCCUGUUUUUCCUGAGAUUAUAUGAUUACUUUGUUCAGCUUGAAUGUAAGUUGUUAAUUUCCUUUUGCGCAGCUUUUGUUCGAAUUCAAUAUAACUUUGUGUAAUCCUAUGCAUGUUUAUUAUAGCCUAUAGCUGUCUUUCUGAUUUUCAUGGCAUUACUCAAGAUGGCAUUUCUAUUUUGUGGGUGUUGGUUUUGCCGGGGCUGACUCGUAUUUAAAGUAUGAAAUACUGUCAUGUGAUCAAUGUUUUCUUUUCUCCCCGAUCAAUUACUUUCUUACAUAGUUCCUCCUUUCUUCUAGUCAAAUGUAUAUCAUCUCGACCUUUAUUAAAAUUGGUUAGCUUCUCUUUGUUUUGACGUUAUGCAUUAAUCUCUUUUUCUCCUAUAUCCAAAAUACUCUCUUAUGAAGUUUGAGGUGCUCACUGUUACGGUAUAGAAUUUAAAAAAAUGUUUUCUUUCAUGAAGAUUCAAAGGCUCCAUAUGCGGAUAAGCACGUUAAUAUAUACAUAUAUAUAUAUAUAUAUAUAUAUGUGUGUGUGUGUGUGUGUGUGUGUGUGUAUGUGUGUGUGUGUGAUGGCAUCGCAUUCCACAAUUUACGUUGUGUCUUGAAUUGUGUUAAUGAAGGAUGGUUACUGCCUCUAUUUCAGGCAUUUGUUUGUGCUGAUGAAUGUUUUUAAGAUCAUGCUUUAGGUGUUGAUUAAUUCUCCGUUGCGAUUGAGUGCCAUUAGAUGUAGAAUGGGUGAUUUCUCUGAGAAAAUAUUAUGUUAAAAUCUUAGUCUAAGUUUAAGUAUUUUCCAAGAAUGAGCCUUUGUUUGGACUAAGAGCUUUCACCAAACUGUUUAUUGUCUUUCAAUUGGUCUUCUCAAACGGGGGCUCUUCUUAUCUCUACGUACAUAAACAACUAUUCCAAAUUCAUCGUGAAGGUGUCAUAUGCUUUGCCUUUAUGUUUUUUGGAUCGAUUUUGCCAUUUUCGAAAACAAUGUCCUAACUGACUAGUUAAGGUCUGUGUCAUGCUGUUCUUUAGUUAGUUAUUUAGUUAAUCAUGUAUUAGUUGUCUUUAUAUUUUCUUCCUUCAUACCAACCUUUGUUAAUUUGCCUGCUUUGUUGAUUAUUUGAGAUCCGUACGUUGCCCUUCUUAGUUAAACCUGCAUUAGUUUCCUUUUAAUUUUUUCCUCUUUGGUUGAUCAUGUGUUAGUAGGCUUCCUUCACUUUAUUUACUUUCUUCCCCCCUUCUUCCUUUUCUUGAUUAUAUACUAAUGUGUUAGUAGGCUUCCUUCACUUUAUUUACUUUCUUCCCCCCUUCUUCCUUUGCUUGAUUUUAUACUAAUGUGUUUUAUUUUCCCUCCUUUGCAUGGAAAUCAUUUGAGUCCUACAUGAACUCUUUCCUUUGUGCAUAUUCAUCAUGGGCCACUGAGGCCUACUAUGUCUAUUGAGUCAAGCCCGAAAGAGAAUCCAUCGCAUGGAAUACGGACGCGAGGAGUCAAAGGAAGGAAAAUGGGUUAAAAUCCCAUUUUGGAAGCGGCAGAGGAGACUUGAAAGUCUCAUCUUUUUUAUUUACUUAUUAAUUAUUGCCUUCAUUUGUCUAUUUUUAUCCAUACAAUUUAUUUCUUUAUUCAUUCAUUCGGGCCACGAAGCAAAUAUUAUAUAUAAUACAGGUGGAGCAGGAUUCGAACCAAAUGCUCAAAAACUAGAUUAGGACAGGUGAAAUGGGUCGAAAACCCAACUAGACUAGGACAGGUCUCAUUGAUUUGGGCCCAAUGGCCUAAAUCCUUUACUUUCUCCUCCCUUUCCCUUUUAUGUGAUUGUUUGUUUAUUAGUUUUGUUUAGACUUAGUUAAAAUCCCUACUAAGUCACCUAAAUCUAUUUUACACAAGUCUUUUUUUAAAAAAAUCAAAUCAGUAUUUCAACAAAUUAAUCUUUUCAGAAGUUAAUCAAAAGAUGUUUUCAAACAGUCCGGAUAACCGCAAAUUAGUGGACGUUUUAGGUUCCUAACACCUUCCUGAAAUGUUAAUAAGAACCGCUUACUCAGAAUCUCUUAACUUAAACGAUUUUUCUAUUUUGAAUCGUGUAAGUACAUUUAAAAGUUUCUUAAUUCGUUUUUAAAAUUAAGUGGCGACUCUUCAAAAAGUCAAAAUUUCUCCGUAAAACAAGUGGUGGAACUUCAAAAUAUAAUCCUAAGAAGAAAAAGAUGAAAUUUAUAGAUCACCUAAAACAACAAAUCAAAAGAUCUUGCUGAAUAAGACAAAGAGAGAGUAAUGAAAAGAACUUGUUAAGGAGCAUAGUGACAUUGAGCUGAUAGAUGCAAAAAGUAAUAGGUUGACAGAAUAUACAACAAUGAUUCACAAUGAAGAUAAGGAACAAAUUGCUCCUAAGGAUGAUUUGCAAUAGCAACAACUCAUUAUUAAGGAAAGCGGGAAAAAUUAUAACUCAUCCAGCAAUAUCCCUGAAGCAGAAAUAGAGAUUAGUAAAGAAGCUAUUGUAGACUCUAGUAACCUAUAAAUGAUAUGGAGUAGCAACAACUAGACUCUAGUAGAAACAAAAUUAAAUAGGUUAACAUGAAUAGUCCAUCCAAGGAACAUGGAGAGAUUACUUCUUUUAAAAGUUCACUUCAACAACAGUAAGCUAAGCAACAACUUCUGCAGCAUAGCAGCCUGUAGUAGACAGCAACAAACAUCUAUGUACAAUAGAGAUGUAGUCUGUAGUCAAUAACAACAUUCUGAUGACAUCUAAGACCAUAAAUUCCGUUAGAUAGUAAACCUUUUUUUUGAUCAUUUUCAUUUGAACAUCACACCCCUUGCCGUGCUGCCCUUCCCUAGACCCUACUAGCGUGGGAUGAUUUGUGCACCGGGUUUUCCUUUUAUUUCCUCUUAGACCAUAAAUAUUGGCGUCAAACUAAUAUUAUCAAAAUUGGUUUGGAGUACAUUUUCUUUUAUGAUAAUCAAAGAACAUUGAGUAUGAAAAAAAGAACUAGUUCGUGUUUGCCAUAACCAUAUUAACAUGAAUUACUUAAAAACUAAUCUUUUACAAUGAAAUAUCAAAAAUUUCUAACGAAAUAUCAAUCAUUUCUUCAUACUUCUCCCAUUGCAUAAAUUUCACCCCAUCCAAACUUCUUUACCAUGUAACCAACCUUCUUUCCAGUUUCUUCUUCCUUUCAUUACCAAGAAUUCAAUUUUGACACUCAUGGACGCAUUAUUACUUCAGUAGCAGAAAGCCUGAAACUUUGUUACAUCAAUAGUCAAAAUUUCACUUAAUAUGAGUUGUCUUCGUUGAAACUAACUAAUGGUAACAUAAAACUCAUUAGCAAUCAAAAUUUACCAAGUCAUGGACGCAUUAUUACUACAGUUUUUACCAAUGUUCACGCAAUCAAAUGAACCCAGCAUUAAAAUAUUCUCAAAGGAGAAGAAAAACUCAAAAUUCCCAAAAAUUAGGUCAAAGACGUAGAAAAAUACGCUAACCUUUAAAUCUCCAAAUUGAAGCAAUUGAAGUGCAAAUUUGAGAGAAAUUGAAGUACAAAUUUGGUCUGAAUAUUUCUUGCCCCGGUAAAUCGAUUUUUGAAGUGGCACCAGUAAAUCCCACAAAGCUCACUACCAAAUAGUAGAAAUUGUAGCGAUUGCAGCGAAGAGAACCUGAAUUCCCAUAUCGAUUGAUUAUCGUUGUAAAGGUUGCAGUGAAGAGAAGUCAAUUCCCCUAAUCGAUUGAUUGUCGUUGUAGCGAUUGUAGCGAAGACAAGCCAAUUCCCUAAUCGAUUGAUUGUUGUUGUAGCGAUUGUAGCAAAGAGAAGCUGAUUCUCAAAUCUAUUGAUUGUCAUAGUAAUCGAUUGAUUCCCUAAUCGAUUAGUUCCCUAAUCGUAGUUAAAUAUUUUUUUAAAGGUUCAGUAAGCUGAGAGCUAAUAGAGAAACUAAGAGAGAACGGGAAGUAAAAUCUAAGAGGGAAGAGACAAAAGUUGUCUUAGGUUUUCUUUUUUGGCGGACUUAUCAAAUUUUUAGUGAAAAUAGAGGGAAAAAAAUAAGUGUUGCUAUAACUUAUUUUAUUUAUCUAUGGCAACGUUUAUUAUCAAAUGCAACGGUUAUAGUGCAAAAUUAUAGCUAAUAGAAUAAUUAUUUAUGGCAUACUUACAACUGUCGCAAUAGACCACCUAUUGUAACGCUUUGGUAACCGUCGCCAAAAAGUUCGUUGCUAUAGGGGUAAUUUUCAGUAGUGUAUAUUACUCGGACUCUUCAAAAAUAUCAAUGGAUUCAUGUUGGAUUCUCCAAAAGUAAUGUAUUUUUGGAGAAUUCGAUACUAGUGCGACAUCAAAAGUAAAGAAUUCACACAACUUAGGAUAAGAUAAGUUAAGAACAACAUUCAACUAUGAUUAUAUAACAAAGACAAUUAUCAACUGUUGAUUUUUUUUUUUUUUGGCCUGAAGAUCCAGUAAUAAAAUAAUAGUAAAUGUCUGGAGCUUUCUAGCAAAUAGUUUUUUAGCAUCAUUAAAAGGUUCUAUUUGUUUUUAUGAAGUAUUGGCUAUACAUGGAAAGAGCCGGCAUGUAUCGGAAACAACAUCUCCACUUCAUCUUUGAGGUAGUGAUAUAAACUGCAUACAUUUUAUUUUUUUCAGAUUUCACAGACCUGUAGAUUAAGUAUGUUGUUGUUGUUGAGAUACUAAGAGGUAGAGGAUAAUAAGCAAGUGAACUAGAUAGUCCAUUAUCCGGAAGAAGUUCGACUUCUAUAGAAACUAAACUUUUUGAGAAGACGCAAAUAGAUUUGGAUUAGAGUUAAAUUUGGUUGAUUUGUGAAUUAAGAUCAAUAUCACAUGACAACAUUGCAACGGAUCAAGUCAAAUUUCUUUUUGAGAUAGUGUUCAUUGGAAAAUGAGGUAAGCGAUUUGAUCACGCGUCAAAAGACUCUUGGAAAAGUGAUUUGAAUUUAUUGUCAUUCAUUAUAAAAGUUCAAAAUUGCCAUUUACUAUUUCCUCAACCAUGACUAAUUAUUUUUAUAAUAUUUCAAAGACUCCUACAAAGGUUUAUGUGAAUUAAAGACUCCUAAAAUGUAUGAAAAAAGGUUUAUGUGAAUUAAAGACUCCUAAAAUAUAUGAGUAAGGUAUCUUUAAAAUCUUUAUCUAUGGAAUGUGAAAUCUGAAAAUUUUAGAGGAGUCGUGCUCCUUUUAUUUCUUUCUAAAAAUAAAAAUAAAAAUUCAAGUAAAGUCAAUUUUAAAAGUUAUUUUCUCAAAGGCAUGAGACGGCAAAGUCAAUUUAAAAAGUUUUAUUUGCAUAAAACACAAGAGACGUACAAAUCUUUCAAAUUUUUUUGAUGGAUGUCUUUUUUAUUUCUUGGUCUAACAUAAUUUACUUUGGUAGAAGAAAUAAAAAUAAAGUUCUGAUUUUUUGUGCUCAAAAUUGUUGUUUGAUGUUCUUUUCUCUCUCUCUAAAUAUAUAUAUAUAUAUAUAUAUAUAUAUAUAUAUAUGUAUACAUUGUAUACAUAUAUAUAUGUAUACAUAUAUAUAUGUAUACAUAUUGUAUGUAUGUAGUUGUAAUGUCUCGAGAGAAGAUUAAGAUGAAAAAUCUGAUGUUACAUAUGUUAUUAAAAAUUUAUUCUAAUUACUUUUUUGUGCAGUUUUUCAUUCUCACAAAACAUCAAUGGAAUCUAUAAUUUAAAUUCGAUAGUUGAAUAACUUUAUGAUGCAUAUCGGAGAUGAUAUUAUUUGUUGGACAUUAGGUCGACGAAUGACGAGUAAUAUAGUGAGAGAAUUUUUUUGUUGUCACUAAAAACAUUAAACUCAAAUAUUUGAUAAAUUCUUUGUUUAUUUGAACUAUUUAACAUCUACUUUAUGUAAAUUAAAAUACAAUUAACUCAGUGCACGUUAGUGCGAUAACCUACGCACAGUCGGAGAUGGGGAGAGGACGACCUCAGAAGGCUGCUAAGAAACAACAAGAGGAUGAUAUCCGCCGUGAAAUUCUUGCGAGUUCUGAACGAGCUGGGACAGGUUCUAGAGUAGCGAUUAGAGAAAAAUGCAAAACCCCGAUGGGAACCCUCAGAUAACACCGAAAAUGAUUCCCAGUGAGAAAGUGAAGGCAAAAAGUAUUGAAACUUGGCCUAAAUUAGCUACCAAGCAAGCAACUGGUGAAAAUCCAGCUCAAUUGAGCCUAGAUUUGCAGAAACUGAAAGGAACAAAUACUCUGAAUGAGACAGGUACUUCUUCGAAGGAGCAUAAACAAUUGGAGAAGCUGCUUGAGAAACCAUGGAAGAAUCUAUUCUCUACAAAUAGGUUGGCUACUAAAGAUAUGAAUCUAUCAUUCAUUCCACCUACUGUUAUUGAUGGGGAGAAAGUGGUAGAAGUAACCACAGAUGAUGUAGCGUAUGAGAAUGAAAAAUGGAAGUCUGUUAUUGUGGUAUAUGUAGUGGGAAUCAGCCCCUCUAUAGGUGCUAUGGAGAGAUUCAUACUUGUGCAGGGGAGCUUCACUACAAAUCCAACUGUGUUGUAUCAUUCAGAUGGGUACUUUGUGGUUAGAUUUGUGAAUGAAGAAGAAAGAGAUGUAGUGCUAUGCUCUGGACCACAAUACCUACUCAAAAGACCAGUCAUUAUUAAACCUUGGACAACAUAUUUCAAUUUUAGCAAGAAAAUCCUAACUACAAUUCCGCUAUGGAAUAAGCUACCUAGCUUGCCUCUAAACUGCUGGAAUGUUGUAGUGUUAAGUAAAAUAGGGAGUAGCUUGGGUAAAACCCUGUAUGUAGAUGAAUGUACAACUCAGCCUAGCAGAAUAUCAUUUGCUCAGAUAUUGGUAGAAGUAGACAUUACCAGACCACUCCUUAAAAAAAUUAAAAUCCAGGAUUCGAAGGGUAGACUAAUGGAGCAGGAAGUCUGGUAUGAUUGGAAGCCACAAUAUCGUGAAAAAUGCUUACAAUCGGGCAUAGUUGUAAAACCAACCCACCACAUGUAAAGAAACAAGAAGCCACAAAGGGACAGGGGAAACAGACGCAGAAAAUAGAAUGAAAAUCCACAGAGGAACCUGAGAAAGAAAGUAUGAAACCACAAGUCCAAGACAUGGAUAGUGAAGACACAGGAAUAGCUGCAACAAAUAAAACAGAGCAAUGACAAACUGUUAAGAAAAAUUCAGCUGGGAAAAGGCCUUAUCUCCCAAACAACACACCAGGUGACCUUGGUAUACCAAGUUGCAGCAAUCCUUUUGAUGUUGGACAAGGAAGUGGAGGUACUAAUAUGGAUAUGGCAGAGUUCUUCCCACCAACACUCCCUCUUCAAGUAUGGUAGUGACAUGGAAUGUAAGAGGCUUCAACCAAGUGGUGAAGCAGAAGGAAUUAAAGUUAUUUUUGAGAAAAAAUAAAGUUACUUGAUAGAAUAUUGCUUGGCUGAAAGUGGUACACAAAUGCUUCAUCAACUAUGAGAGAAAGAUUAUGGGUUAUUUGGGAUCCUAAUGAAUUAUAUUUUCAAUAUAUUGAGAAUUCAGCCCAAUAUAUUCAUGAUGAGGUAUACUACCUGGAAAAUGGAAAGAAAUUCGAAUUUACUGUAGUGUAUGGGUUGCAUUCGAUCGAAGCACGAGUACCAACGUAGACUGACUUACAAAACCUAAAUACAUCAAUUAAUGAGAUGUGGCUUGUCAUGGGGGAUUUUAACUCUAUUUUGUCUAUGGAAGAUAGACAAGCAGGAAGACAAGUGCAAGAUCACGAGAUAAGAGACUCCAAGAGCUUUAUGGAAGAUUGUCACCUUUCAGAGCUAAUAGCAGUAGGGAGAACAUAUAUAUGGACUAACGGACAUGUGUAUAGUAGGAUUGACAAAGCCAUAGUAAAUGCUCCAUGGAUGGUAACAAUGCCUACGCUGCAAGUGCAAAUUAUGGACCCUUUGUUCUCAGAUCACUCACCUCUAAGCAUCAAUUUAGAGUAUAAUGAUAGAUAUAAGGAGAAGACAUUUCAAGUUUUACAACUACUUAGCACAACAUUCUGAAUUUUAGGCUAGAGUUAGAGUAAGUUGGAUGAUAAAAGGAGAAGGAAUGAGGGGCAUUUGGAAAAACCUGAAAAAUGUGAGGAAUGAAAUGCAGUUGUUGACCAAGUCAGAAUAUAUGAAUGUAACAAAAAGGGUCAAAAACCUUAGAUUAAAGCUCUUGAAUAAACUGAACUUGAUGAGACAUGCCCCUGUAACACAAGAGCUGAUAACUGAAGAAAAGAAGCUUAAGCUUAAACUAAGCAAAUGGAGCAUGGUUGAAGAAAGCAUAUAUAGGAAAAAGUCUAGAGUUUAAUGGCUCAAGCUGGGAGAUUCUAAUACAAUAUACUUCUUUGCUAGUAUGAAAGGAAGAAGGCACCAAAACCAAAUCAAAGUACUACAGGCAGGAAAUGGCUCUAUCAAUAGAGAAACAGAGGAGGUUACAACUGAAGCAGUAGGUUUUUACAGGAAGUUACUAGGUACAUCCACUACUCAGUUAGCAGCGAUAUAUCCUGAUGUAAUCAAGGAUGGAACGGUUUUGAACAGACUUCAAUAACUAUAACUUAUACAAUCUUUUAUUGCAACGGAUGUCCACAAUGCAUUAAUAGAGAUUGAUGAUAAUAAAGCACCAGGGGGAGAUGGUUUCAAUUCAUAUUUUUUCAAGAAAGCUUGGUCGAUCAUUGGUGGGGACAUAACAACUGCUGUGUUGGAAUUUUUUGAAACAGGUGAAUUAUACAAACCUAUAAAUAGUACAUCUGUCACCCUGAUCCUAAAGGUUCAACAUCCUAGCUAUAUCACACAAUAUAGGUCUAUAUCUUGCUGCUCUACUCUGUACAAAAUAAUUUCUAAGAUACUUACCCACAUAUUGAAACCUGUCAUGGUUUAUUUGGUGGAUGCUAGUCAAGAUGCAUUUAUACCUGGUACAAUAUUGACUGAUAAUGUAUUGUUGAGUCAUGAGCUUGUAAAGGGAUAUGGAAUAAAAGGCAUCUCGCCUCGAUGCAUGGUUAAGAUAGACAUGCAAAAAGCAUAGGAUUCUUUGGAAUGACCUUUCUUAGAGGAGAUUUUGCUUGUUCUUAACUUUCCUAGGAGGUUUGUGCAAUGGAUAAUAAGCUGUGUGAAGACUGUCUCCUACUCAAUUGUUGUAAAUGGCAUACCAUCAAUCCCCUUUGGGCCAAAAGAUGAGUACGACAAGGAGAUCCUUUAUCACCUUACUUAUUUGUAUUAAGUAUGGAUUAUCUGACCAGACUGCUGAAAACACUACGAAGAAAGCCUGACUUUAACUUCCACCCAAGGUGUCAAAAGCUGAGUAUUAUUUAGAUGAGUUUUGCGGAUGACUUACUACUACUUUGUAGAGGAGAUAUAAUUUAUGCUUGUUUGCUAUAUGAGUGUUUCAAGGAAUUUUUUGCAGCUUCAGGUUUAAUAGUAAAUCAAGUAAAGAGCAAAAACUACUUUGAUGAGGUGGCUGACAAUAUUCAACAAGAAAUACUUCAUAAACUAGGUGUCUCUCUUGGCCAUCUUCCAUUUAGGUACCUGGGAGUACCUCUGAGCACAAAGAAACUAUCUAUAGACCAAUGUCAGCCUCUAAUAGACAAAAUGAUUAGGAAAUAACUAGCUGGACAAUCAAGUUCCUAUCUUACCCCCGAAGGCUACAAUUGAUAAUCAAUGUACUAGCUAGCAUAUAAUCAUUUUGGUCCUAAAUAUUCCCUAUUCCUAAGAAGGUUAUCAAGUAGGUGGAAGCAUUAUGUCAAAAGUUUCUAUGGAAUAGAGACGUCCAAGUAAAAAAGAAAGCACUCAUUGCUUGGGAUAUGCUAUGUCGACCUAAAUCAACAGAAACUCAUUGCUUGGGAUAUGCUAUGUCGACCUAAAUCAACAGAAGGCCUUAACAUAACUGAUAUUAACCUAUAGAAUAAAGCAGUAAUUCUAAAACAUUUAUGGAAUCUAAGCUUAAAGAAAGACAGAUUAUGGAUAUGAUAGGUGGAUGUAUAGUUCUUAAAGGGCAAGAAACCAUGGGAGGUAGAAACUAAGAAGAUGUCCUGGAUAGUCCAAAAAAUAAUGACAGUAGGUAGGUGGCUUGAAGGAACUGGAAUAGAUAUUGAAGACAUCAUGACAGCUGAGUCUUUCUCAAUCAAAAGCAUAUAUACCAAACUAAGGGGUCAAUACCCCAAAGUCGAAUGGAGGAAGCUUAUCUACAACAACAGAGAGAGAAACAAAUGGAAUUUUAUAUGCUAUCUUGCAAUCAAUGAGAGACUCUAUACAAAAGAUAGAUUGGAUAAGUGGGGCAUUCAUACGAAUCGGGUGUGUGGCCUGUGUGAAGAGGAACCUAAGGACCAUAAUCACCUUUUCUUUAUCUGUCGUGUAUCUGCAGGUAUAUGGCAGAAGUUGCUACAAUGAUAAGAAAUCCUCAUAGGCAACAUGGGAUGAAAGGAGGAGCUAAGAUGGGAUACAAUUUAUGCAAAAUUCAAGAGUGCAACAAGUGAGAUUUUUUGAAUGAGUUUGGCAGCCACUGUGUAUCAUAUAUGGUUGGAGAAAAAUCAAAGAAACUUUUAACAAAAGAAGAAGGAACCUGAGGUACUAGUGAGGAUGAUCAUCCAGGAAAUACACUAUAGACCAAGUUUGAAUCUAAAACUAGCAGGCAAGAUGAUUAAGUAUAACAUUUAUCCUUGAAUGUGUGAAGUUGCUAAAGUAAUUGUGUGAGUUGUACAGAUCAUUGAAUUAACAUUACUCUACCAUACUUACAAUGAUUACAAAAAUUAUUACAAAAUAAUUAAUCAAUUCUAAUUCAAGUAUCCUAGGGUGUCUGUGAAGCCAUGUCUAGUAGAGUCUUGCAGAACGGUACGGAGACGUCUGUACUUUUCUUCUAUAGGCUACGAGGCAUUUAAGAAAAGUUUCUCUUCUUUCAUAUUCUAGAUCAUGAAGUAAAGUUGUUCCUUCAGAAACUCCUAUCUACCUGUGUGUUACCCCUAAAAUUCUUCACCUAUGACUUAUUCUCAAGAUAACAUAAUCAGCAAGUUCCAAUUCCUCCCCAGAUGAUGCUCUCAGAUUUUCUAGCAGAAGUUUCAGAAGUCACACAAAGGGCUUGAGAGGACCUCCCUAGUGUGUUAAGUUCCUUGAGCUGAAAGUCUAUGUUCUCAUCCUUAUGAGUUGUUCAGUUGAGACAGAAUUAGAUAUCCAUUCAGAUCCCUCAUUAUUCCUUCAAUACAGAUAGUGCUCAUGAGUGGAGAUAGUAUGAAAAUAGAUUGUUAAAUUUAGUGUGCAUUCGAGGGAUACUAUGAACCUCAAAUUUAUGAUUUAUGAAUAGUAUAACCCUAUUAUAGUUGGAAGUAUGGGUAUAGAAGAGUAGUGACAAGAAAAGUGGGAAUGACGAUUGGUAGAAAGUAUAGAGAUAAAGUUAUGCAUGUUAGCGAGUUGGGUUAAGGUGAUAUAUUUUGUGUGGUUGUUAGUACCAUUGAGUUUCCAAGUGGAAGAAAACUAGUUACAUGGUAUAUGGUGUUCUAAAUAGCUAGAUUAAGGAGCUAAGUUAUGGAUAGAUAAUGUUGAGCCUUUUUGGUAUGAUCUUGAUUCUCAUGGUUUAGAAAUACAAGUUUAGGGAUGUGAUAUUAGUAAGCUAUGGCAAGAGUAGUUUGGUUUGUUAAAGGUUGAUGAUAUCCGUGUUAAGUGUUUGACUCCUUGAAGAUUGAGCAAAUAACAAUGAGAGUUAAAGCUCUAGAUGGUGUGAACUCAGGAUAUGGUAAUACUUAUGAAGAUUCCAAGUUAGUAAGAGUUCAAGAUAUUAUGUGAUGACAAGUAGGGAUAUAGAAAGAAAGAGUUGUAUCUAGAAAGGAAGUAUUAGAAAUGGGGUUUACACUUUUAGGUGUAGUCUUCUAGAGUAAGUUUAUUACUUGUGUGUAUUGUUGUGUUCCAGACUCUAGAGUGCAGUGAUUGUAGUUCAGUUUAGAGUUUAGUAAGAGUUCCACCAACUUAGAGUGACGACUUAAAGCUAAGGGGGAGACGAUGCCAAAGUCAGACUUCCAGAUGCUAGUAGUGAUGCUAGUAUAAUGUAGAACAUUAGAAAGUGAGGAUGUGGAUCAACCCAUUCUUAUUUUAGUAUUUGUUUUUUCAGUCAUCCCAAUAUCUACUCAUGCCUUACGUAUCAUUUCCAUGAUCAUAGUUCAUGUUCAUGCACAUAAUAGAGAGUCAUGUACUCUCCAAUUCCUAGUAUGAGGAGUUCCAGUUCAUCCAGCAGUCGAAAUCACAUUCCAUAAGUUAUGAACUCCAAAUUCAGGUCAUGCAGCUCAUGACUCAUGUACUCUUGAUUUACAACAUGUUCAGUUCCAGUACUCAUGCAAUACUCUUAACGAUCAGAGAAAUUCAGAUUUAUAUCAUGUAGAUCCUCAUAUUAGAUCUUCUUAAUAAAUCCAUGUCGGGAAUGCUUUAUUUCCUCAGACCUCAGUAAGGUGUCCAAUUAUGCUGAGUAUCCCUUCAUGUUUCAGACCCUAUAUUCCACCAACUUUUCAAUGACCUCCCAGGUCAAGAUAGUGUUGAUGAGCGAUUGUGCGGAUGUGAGAUAGUAAAUGUGUUAUGUUUGGGAAGAUUGUUGUAAGCUGGUUUUAUGUAAGUCUAUAAGUUUGAAAGAAUUUUAAGGUGAAUUUUAUUUUCUUGCGUAUGAGAAUAUUUUAUGCGUGCUUUAUUAAGGUCAGUAUAUGAAAGUUACUAUUGAUAGAAGUGUUAGAGAAUAUGAGAAAGAUGCUCUUAUGGGUAUUUAUUUGUAAGUGCAUAUAUGGUUAUGGAGAUAGGCUUGAAUGUAAUGUUGGUGUAUGAGAGUAUAGGUGAGUAGUGCAUUAAUGAAUUUCCUAGUAAGAGGUUGAAUUUGUUAUAGAAAGUGAUAAGAAGAAUUAUCUUAGAGCGGAGUAGUUACGACAUUGCCUGGGGCAUUAAAUCCAUGGUUCAGACUAGUAUUAUGAUAAUGUAUGCAAUACUUUGUGAUUUCAAGUUAGGCCUGGCUGUGAUGAGAGGAUUUAGCUCAGUUUAGACUUUAGUAGACGGAUUUAUCAAUGCCAUGUGAGAAUUAUAAGUUGAAUCAAGCGAGUAUGGAUUUUAAGGGAAUAGUAUAGUUGAAAGAGUGGUUAACAAGUUUUGCAAAGCUUGAAAGUAUAAAGUUGCAUUGCUUAAGGCCUAGCAAUUCAAUUCUAUCCCAGUGUAUGGUUUAUGGGUCUAUAUUCCAUGCUAUAGAGUGGUAGCGAUGUUGUAAUCUCUUAUUUAGAGGUCUUUUUCAGAUCAUGCCCAAAGUCCUUUACUCCCUAAUAGAGUUAAAGUUUCUUAGAAAAGCAUUGAAGAAACCAUCGAGGUAUGAGCGUUCAGUAUGAUUCAGUACGUAUAGCCAGAAAUUCAGUUUAUCAGCCAGACAGAGAAAGCUUUAUAGUUUUUCCAUCUUCUAAUUUAGACUAGUCUUACUACCAGAAAUUUUGUGAGUAGGGCCAUUUUAGUAUAUGCAUCAAUUUUAGAUUCAGAUAUUAAGUCAUGAUUUAGUUCAUAAGUAUCCCGUGUAUCAUCUCAUCCUUUUUCCUAGUAUUGCAACCAAAUCAGUAUCAUUCAAGGACGAGAGAUCUCAAGGGGGAGAUGCUGUAAUACCCAGAGUUUUUAAGGAGUAAAUCUCUCAUUCUUUUCUCAUGAAAUCAAAUCCAGCCCAAAGUAAUGGUUAGUCAUAAGUUGACACUCUCGUUUUGAUCUCAGCCAUAUAGUUAUUUUCGUGAAAGCUCAUGCACUUACAGAUCAGUUCGAUAGCCCAUUACAUUGGGAUUUAGUCAUACAGUUUAUUUCAGUUGUGCAUGAUAUCUUAUAGCCUCAGAUUCCUCAGAAAUUUCAGCCUAAUUAACCACAUUCGAGGAUGAAUGUUCCCAAGGGGGAGAUGUUGUAAUACCCCAUAUUUUUUCUAGCUUAAAUUCGUUUCUAGAAUGUUAAGGGAUAGUUUCCAAAAUAAAAUAAUAUUUAUUCUGUAGACACGUAAUUUUGUCCUUUCCCGAAAAUAUUUUAAUUAUUUUUAUUUUAUUUUAUUUUAUUUUAAUUUUUAUUUUUAUUGUUAUUUUUAUUUUUUUCACCUUACCAUACUUUUGUUUAAUUGAUAAUUUCUCCCCCAAAAAAGAAUUAAAAAUAAUUAAAUACAUAGCAUCUUUGUCACCUCACUAUGCCACCACAUAUUUAUUCCCACAAGCCACCAAUUAUAUGCUUCCACAUAGGAUAAUAAAUAAAGAAAAAAAAAACAAAUAAAAAUAUAAAAGGAAAAUUCUAAAACGGGAAAAGGGAGGCUCAUUAUUUCAUCAUCAUCUUCUCCACAAUAACAACAAUCACCAAAUCAUCUUCCUCACAAGAACAAAAAAAACGAGGGAGAGAAAGAGAGAAUCACGCAAGAGAAAAAAAUCGAGAGAGAAAAAGGGUCUGGAUAAUGGAAAUCCAGCGUAAACAGUGUCGGUGAACAGUAAUAACAUGAAUAGUAAUAGAGUGAAUAGUAAUGAUAUGAACAGUAACGGAGUGAACAGUAACAACGUGAACAGUAAUGGCGUGAACAGUAACGAAGUGGACAAUAACGGCAUGAACAGUGUCGGUGAACAGUGCUGGUGAAAAGUGCUGGUGAACGAGUCAUUAUUUUACAUUGUUGAGUUGGAUUGUUGGUGUUAAGUUUUGGGUCGAGGUUUUCGGGUGCUGACUCUCUUUAUUCGAAUAACAUUGAGUUUGAAAGCUUCAGAUUGAGGUUCAAUUCUACUCUCUUUCUCUUUUU
RNAcentral lists this long non-coding RNA (59925 nucleotides) under Capsicum annuum. RNAcentral describes it as "long non-coding RNA (CANN_LNC002332)". Lineage: Eukaryota; Viridiplantae; Streptophyta; Magnoliopsida; Solanales; Solanaceae. The record is from RNAcentral.